GCGGAUCCCGUACGCAACCUUGACACGUGCUAUGACUUGACCCGCUUCCCCGAGGUCAAUGUCCCCAAGGUGUCCCUAGUGUUCGCAGGCGGUGCCACCUUGGAGCUCGAGCCGGCGUCCAUCAUGCUGGACGGCUGCCUGGCUUUCACGGCCUCCCCUGGCGGCCACGGCUCCAUCGGAUUCAUCGGCAACGUGCAGCAGCAGACCUACGAGGUUUUGUACGACGUCGGCAGCGGGAGCGUGGGAUUCCGCAGUGGCGCGUGCUGAUGUGGCAAGCUGCAGGCCAACCACGGCCACUUGUACGUGUGAUGCAUGAUUGGCCCCCUAAUAUAUAUCUGGGUCUACAAGCUAGCUUGCUCAUUGGGAUGGAGCUAGUUUGUGAGUAUAAAUAAAUGCAAGAAAGAAGAUUGAUGUAAUACUUAUAUAUGCAUGUAAUUUUAUAUAGUUUUAUAUAUGCAUGUAAUUUUGUUCAACGGUUGUAUGAUUGUAAACCUUAUAAUAUAACCUUACAGAUUGUCAAGGAAUUCAACCGAUAUAAUUACUCUACUUAUUGAUGUGCAAUAAUGUAAUAUGACUAUUAAGAAGCAUUCUGAUUGUGGAGGUGGUUUCGCACUUUUUACUACAACAAAGGUGUUUGAAGGAUUCCUCGGCAGAAACUAGAACGCACUCCUUCAAUAAUUGACGAGCUAAUUGGUUGUUGAACUUCAGACAAAGAUUGUUGGGCAUGAAAGCGGUCACCAGCGGGUUGAUUGGCCUCACCAGCUCAUACGUGUUCAUGAGGCGUGGUUUUUUUCUUUUCUUGAUUAAUAGUAUUUGUUUCUGGAUGCUUGCAUUGUUAGAUUUGGAAGCGUUCCUACUCCUCGAUGAGGAGCCGGGUUGGUUUAUAUUGAACGAGGCAGAACAGCCCUGCCGUGGCUUACAAGAAGAGGAAACUGAUCGCAAGGAUUGGGUUGUAAGGAGGACUCCUAAACAGCUACGCGAGGGAGAGAGAUAGAAUAGAGUUGAGAUUACAAUGCGGAGAUAAACAUGAAUUCUAACACCCUCCCUUAAUCUCAACUAUUCUAUGUUUAGAUUCCUCUUGAACUCAUCAAAUGGUUUUGCUGGUAGUGCCUUGGUGAACCCAUCAGCCACUUGAUCUUUGGAAGGGAUGAACCGUAUCUCAAGUUUCUUUGCUGCAACCCUUUCAGGCACAAAGUGAAAAUCAAUCUCUAUAUGCUUGGUUCUUGCAUGAAACACUGGGUUUGCAGACAAGUAUGUUGGUCCCAAAUUAUCACACCAUAAACAUGAGAUGCGAUUCUGCUUGACCCCCAUUUCAUCCAGUAGUGAUUCAAUCCAAAUGAUUUCUGCAGUGGCAUUAGCUAAGGAUUUAUACUCAGCCUCUGUAUUUGAACUUGAUACAGUGGCUUGUUUCCUACCACUUUAAGAAACAAGAUUAGGCCCAAAGAACACUGCAAAGCCUCCGGUUGAUUUUCUAUCAUCACUGCAACCUGCCCAAUCAGCAUCAGAGAAUGCACUCACAAGAGUAGAAUUAGAGCGUCUAAAAUGCAGUCCUACUCCCAUAGUAUGUUUGACAUAUCUUACAGUUCUCUUAAUAGCUGUCCAAUGUGCAGUAGUGGAUGCAUGCAGAUAUUGACAAACUUUGUUAACAGCAAAUGAGAUAUCUGGGCGAGUAAGAGUCAAGUACUGUAAUGCUCCAACAGUACUUCUAUACUUUGUGCUAUCUUCCUCAUAAAGUGGCUCACCUUCAUAUGCUGAAAGUUUCUCCGAGGAGGACAAUGUGUAGGUACAGGUUUGCAGUUUUUCAUCCCCAUACGAGAUAGAAGCUUGGUAACAUAUUUCUCUUGUUUUAGUACCAUGCCAUCUUGAGUCAUCUUAACUUCAAUGCCUAGAAAGAAGUGCAAAUGUAACAUCCCAAAAUUCUAAAUUUUGGAAUGUUAUAUUAAAUAAUUAAUUAUGAUUGUUUGUUUGUUGUGUGAUUGAUUGUGUGAAAAUGAUUGGAAAUUGAAAACUUUUUGAAAGUUGAAUGAGAGGGAAUAAAAGGACUUUCUCGAAACUUUUCAUCUUGCAUUUUGAUCUUCCUGAAUUCAAAUUCAUUUCAUCACAAAACCCUAGAGUGAAGAUAUUAUGACUUCUUCCAUUUAAAGAAAUUAAAAAAGGGGUUUGAAAAUGAUUUGAAUUCCAUUUGAAACAUUUCGAAUUUAGAAACUUUAAGAGCAUCUCCAGCCGUUCGCCCCCCAGGACGCAUAAAAAUCGCCCCCAGGGGGCGAGCCGGCGAUAUAAUCGGCGCUGGGAGCGGUUUCGCGCCCAGUCGUCGCCCCCAGGCGUCGAUAUUGGCCCACUUAUCCCAUUUCGGCGAAUAAAGGGCCCAUAUGGGCGACAAUAGGCCCAUAUUCCGCGUGGUUUGCCGUUGUUCGGCGUUCAGUUGUCACACCCUAGCUAGUCAUGCAUUAGAGUGUUGCAUCAUGUUUACUCUUUCAUCAGAAACUUGAAAUGGGGAUGACAGAACCCCCAGUCCCCUCUGAAACCAACUAGGGUUACUAAAAUAAUUUUUCAAUGAACCUGAAAUGCCCUUCUAAAAUGCCCAUCAUUUUUGCCUUGGUUCAGAACCUUUGCCAAAAGUGGUGCACAUUUUCCUAGGCCAUCCUAGGGUUUUUGAAUUAAGUCAUAAGUAUUUGAAUUUGGGCAUUUAAAAUUAUAUAAAAUAUUUAAAUGCUCAAAUAUCUCCAAACUAAAAUGUUUCAUGUUGGAAAUAAUCCAACUAUGGACCAGGAGUAGUUUGGUGAUUUUUGGAGUUGCCUAGGUAUUUUAUUUAAUUCAACAAAGUUGCAGAUAUAUUAAAUAAAAACAGAAAACAGAAAAAUAAAUAAAAGGAGUAGACUUACCUGGACCUACCUGCCCAGCCCAGCCGGCCCAGCACUGUGCUGGCCCGUGCCAGCCAGCUGCUUCCCCUUGCCAGAGCAGGCAGGGAGGUGAGCAUGGCGCGCCCGAGCUCGCCACGCACCACCCAGCCUCUCUGCAUCGCCCUGGUCGCCGUUGCGCCGCGUGGAUCGUCUUCUGGUCGUCGCCCCGACCUCGCCGACACCCCAUUCAUUCUCCCCCGGCUCUCCCUCGCUCUCUCCCCCGCCCGACCGAACACCACCGUCGCCGCCGUUCGCCAUAGCCACCGUCUCCGACCACCCCUCGCUCCCCCGACCAGCUCAGAAGCUCCGCCACAACUCCCUCUUCCUCCCCACCGCUCCACAGCUCCCCGGAAGCCCUGCAUUGCCGCCACGUCGCCGUUCCCCUCUUCGGGCUCCGACCACCGCCGCCGUCGAAUUCGCCGUCUCCAGCGCGUCCCCGAGCCCGCUUCGACGCCCACUGCAACCGCGGUGAGCUACGCCACCGUUUCCCCCUCUCCUUCCCCUCGUUCCCUCACCGUAGCUUCCUCCCCACCACGGCCGAACCUCCGCCGUCGCCGAGCUCGCCGUCGACGCAGCUCCGGUGACCAUUUGGUCACCCCGGCGAGUCCAACGGGUUCACAGAACCCCGUAGAGCAUCCCUAGCGCCUCGCCUUGCUCGACUUCGAGCUCCAGCACCGUUCCCGGACUGCUCAACUCACCCAUCCUUCGGGAAAGAUAGUCAAUGUCUUGACCCGAAUAGCCAAGCGACAAUUAUACUCUCUUAACGCCAGCCCCUUGCCAGACCUUGAGGACGUGCCGGUAGUCUGUGACUUCCCGGAUGUCUUUCCAGAAGAAUUGCCAGGUGUUCCACCUGACAGGGAUGUUGAGUUCGUAAUAGACCUCAUCCCCGGAACCGUUCCGAUUGCUAGAAGACCUUAUAAGAUGGCACCCCUAGAACUAGCCGAGCUUAAGAAACAACUCGAUGAAUCCUUGAAAAAGGGUUUCAUCCGCCCUAGUUCAUCUCCGUGGGCUUGCCCCGUCCUAUUCGUCAAGAAGAAGGAUGGUACGGACCGAAUGGUUGUAGAUUACCGACCUGUCAACUUGGUCACAAUCAAGAACAAAUACCCGCUUCCCAGGAUCAACGAUCUGUAUGAUCAGCUCGCUGGAUCCUCAGUCUUCUCCAAGAUGGAUUUGAGGUUGGGAUACCAUCAAAUCAAAAUCAGAAACGGGGACAUUCCUAAAACGGCCUUUGUUACUCGUUAUGGCCAAUACGAGUACACCGUCAUGUCCUUCGGUUUAACCAACGCUCCAGCCACCUUUUCUCGGUUAAUGAACUCAAUCUUCAUGGAGUAUUUGGACAAAUUCGUCAUAGUUUAUCUCGAUGAUAUACUCAUCUACUCCAAGAACGAGGAAGAACAUGCCGAACAUUUAAGGCUAGUGUUGAAGAAACUUCGAGAGCAUCGCCUUUAUGCCAAAUUUUCUAAAUGUGAAUUCUGGUUAUCAGAAGUGACCUAUCUGGGUCAUGUAAUAUCUGGUAAAGGUAUUGCUGUUAACCCUGAGCGAGUUCAAGCCGUCCUUGAUUGGACUCCACCCGAAUCGGUCAAGCAAGUUCGGAGUUUUCUAGGCUUAGCGAGCUAUUGUCGUCGCUUUGUCGAGAACUUCUCCAAAGUUGCUAAACCUCUAACCGAACUCCUCAAGAAAGAUAAGAAGUUCGAAUGGACUCCACAAUGUGAGCACAGCUUUCAGGAACUGAAAAGACGCCUGACUUCUGCUCCCGUGCUGGUACCGCCAGACUUCUCCAAGGACUUCGUUAUCUACUGCGACACCUCGCGACAAGGACUAGGUUGCAUUCUCAUGCAAGAUCGACACGUAAUUGCUUACGCUUCACGGCAAUUGCACCCACAUGAGGAGAAUUAUCCUACUCAUGAUCUAGAGCUUGCAGCCGUAGUCUAUGCACUUAAGACCUGGCGACAUUACCUCCUCGGUAAUCGUUGCGAAAUAUUCACUGAUCACCAAAGUCUGAAGUAUAUUUUCACCCAACCGGAUUUGAAUCUCAGGCAGAGAUGUUGGGUUGAAUUGAUCACAGACUUCGACUUAGGAAUAACCUACACCCCAGGGAAAGCCAACGUCAUGGCUGAUGCGCUAAGUCGUAAAUCUUAUUGUAACAACCUGAUGUUACAACAAAGUCAACCGCUUCUCCAUGAGGAAUUUCGGAAGCUUAACCUUCACAUUGUACCUCAAGGUUUUCUUUCCACCUUGGUGGCAAAACCUACCCUUACGGAUCAAAUUAUCAAAGCACAGAAGGUAGAUCCGGGAAUCUCCCGCAUCAAGAGAAACAUUCAGAAAGGAAUUGCGAAUUGCUUCUCCAUUAAUGAUCAAGGGGUCGUAUACUUCGGGGAUCGACUAGUGGUUCCCAAAGUGCGAAACCUGAGGCGAUUGAUCCUUAAGGAAGCUCAUGAAUCUCCUCUCACCAUUCAUCCCGGUAGUACUAAGAUGUAUCAGGACCUACGCCAGAGGUUCUGGUGGACUAGGAUGAAGAGAGAAAUUGCUCAGUAUAUUGCUAAUUGCGACGUCUGUCAUCGUGUAAAAGCAGAGCAUCAACGGCCUGCUGGCACCCUUCAACCCUUAGCUAUUCCUGAAUGGAAAUGGGAUAAAAUUGGUAUGGAUUUCAUUACCGGGUUUCCCAGGACCAAGAGAGGGAAUAAUGCUAUUUUCGUCGUGGUCGAUCGUCUCUCCGAAGUAGCUCAUUUCUUACCUGUUCGUGAGAGUAUAACCGCUAGUCAGCUGGCAGAUUUGUACAUCUCCCGAAUAGUGUCUCUACAUGGUGUUCCUUUGGAAAUUAACUCGGAUCGAGGAAGUCUUUUCACCUCUCGAUUUUGGGAAAGUUUCCAAAAUGCUAUGGGAACUCGUCUCUUCUUUAGCACCGCUUUCCACCCUCAGUCGAGUGGUCAAGUGGAACGCGUCAACCAAAUUCUAGAAGACAUGCUUCGAGCCUCUGUUAUCUCUUUCGGAAUGGACUGGGAGAAGUGCCUUCCAUUUGCCGAAUUCGCUUACAACAACAGCUAUCAAUCUAGCUUGGGUAAAGCCCCUUUUGAAGUUCUCUAUGGACGACGAUGUCGAACACCCCUUAACUGAUCAGAGACCGGGGAAAGACAAUUCUUUGGCCCGGAUAUGAUUCAGGAAGCAGAAGAACAAGUUCGUAUCGUUCGUGAAAAGUUGAAAACAGCCCAAUCUCGUCAAAAGAGUCAAUAUGACCGAAAACAUAAGGCUAUGACUUUCGAGGUUGACGAGAAGGCUUAUCUUCGGGUCACCCCUCUGAAGGGAACCCAUCGUUUCGGUAUCAAAGGCAAAUUGGCUCCUCGUUACAUUGGACCUUUUCGCAUUCUUGCCAAACGAGGAGAAGUUGCCUACCAGUUGGAACUACCUCCGCACCUCUCCAGAGUUCACGAUGUCUUCCACGUUUCUCAACUCAGGCGUUGCUUCUCGGAUCCUAUCCGUGAAGUGGACCACGAAACGCUUGAUCUCCAAGAUGAUCUUACAUAUCGAGAGUACCCCAUUCGUAUCCUCGAUCAAGCCGAACGUACCACGCGACGUCAUAAUAUCAAGUUUCUCAAGGUUCAAUGGUUGCACCAUUCUGAGGAUGAAGCAACUUGGGAAAGGGAGGAUCGUCUUCGACUCGAGUAUCCCGCCUUCUUCUCGGAGAAACCCAAAUCUCGGGACGAGAUUCUUUUGAGUGGGGGUGAGUUGUCACACCCUAGCUAGUCAUGCAUUAGAGUGUUGCAUCAUGUUUACUCUUUCAUCAGAAACUUGAAAUGGGGAUGACAGAACCCCCAGUCCCCUCUGAAACCAACUAGGGUUUACUAAAAUAAUUUUCAAUGAACCUGAAAUGCCCUUCUAAAAUGCCCAUCAUUUUUGCCUUGGUUCAGAACCUCUGUCAAAAGUGGUGCACAUUUUCCUAGGCCAUCCUAGGGUUUUUGAAUUAAGUCAUAAGUAUUUGAAUUUGGGCAUUUAAAAUUAUAUAAAAUAUUUAAAUGCUCAAAUAUCUCCAAACUAAAAUGUUUCAUGUUGGAAAUAAUCCAACUAUGGACCAGGAGUAGUUUGGUGAUUUUUGGAGUUGCCUAGGUAUUUUAUUUAAUUCAACAAAGUUGCAGAUAUAUUAAAUAAAAACAGAAAACAGAAAAAUAAAUAAAAGGAGUAGACUUACCUGGACCUACCUGCCCAGCCCAGCCGGCCCAGCACUGUGCUGGCCCGUGCCAGCCAGCUGCUUCCCCUUGCCAGAGCAGGCAGGGAGGUGAGCAUGGCGCGCCCGAGCUCGCCACGCACCACCCAGCCUCUCUGCAUCGCCCUGGUCGCCGUUGCGCCGCGUGGAUCAUCUUCUGGUCGUCGCCCCGACCUCGCCGACACCCCAUUCACUCUCCCCCGGCUCUCCCUCGCUCUCUCCCCCGCCCGACCGAACACCACCGUCGCCGCCGUUCGCCAUAGCCACCGUCUCCGACCACCCCUCGCUCCCCCGACCAGUUCAGAAGCUCCGCCACAACUCCCUCUUCCUCCCCACCGCUCCACAGCUCCCCGGAAGCCCUGCAUCGCCGCCACGUCGCCGUUCCCCUCUUCGGGCUCCGACCACCGCCCCCGUCGAAUUCGCCGUCUCCAGCGCGUCCCCGAGCCCGCUUCGACGCCCACUGCAACCGCGGUGAGCUACGCCACCGUUUCCCCCUCUCCUUCCCCUCGUUCCCUCACCGUAGCUUCCUCCCCACCACGGCCGAACCUCCGCCGUCGCCGAGCUCGCCGUCGACGCAGCUCCGGUGACCAUUUGGUCACCCCGGCGAGUCCAACGGGUUCACAGAACCCCGUAGAGCAUCCCUAGCGCCUCGCCUUGCUCGACUUCGAGCUCCAGCACCGUUCCCGUGCACGACCGAACCCCGGCGGCCGCAGCCGAGCUCGCCGCCGUCGACUCCGGCCACCCCGACCCCAACGGGCUCCGCCAAGAGCUGCGGGUUGUCCUCAGCUCCACUCAGGUGGCCUCCGCGAUCCAUUUGGUGGCCGAAACGACCAAAAUCACUUCCGCCGCCGCGUCGGGCUCGCCGGCGACUAAACGCCGGCAGCCGACACUGACUUUGACCACGGGUGGGCCCUGGUUGACUCCCCUGAGUCAAUGACAGGUGGGGCCCAGCCCUGUUAAUUAAACAGGAUUAGUUUUAAUUAAGUUUUAAUUAAAAUAAUCACCCUGACAUGCGGGACCCACUGUCAGGUUUGACCUGGACCAGUUCCGUUGACCUGCUGACGUCACACUGACGUCAGGCUGACGCAGUAAAUUAAUUUCUGGAUUUAAAUUAAAUCAGGAAAUUCCAGAAUAUUAUUUAAACUUCAAAAAUUCAUAACUUUUAUUCUGUAACUCCAAAUUGGACAAAUUAUAUAUGAAAAAUGAUCAGAAAAAUCCAAUCUAUCCAUCUGUACCAUUUUCAUGCAUGAUCAAACAAGUUAAGUUGAUGUUUUAAUCAGAACAAGAAAAGGCACUUUAAAAGGCCAUAUUUGAAUUUGAAAUCUGAAUCUUUGAUUCAAAUUUGUUCAAACCCUUCUGGUUUUUAGUUGCAUUAGCCCAACACACUCAUAUUGCCAUGUUUCAUGCAUGCAUCAUAUUGUUGCAUAUUGUUUGGUGAUGUUUGUGUAUCGAUGUCCUUUGCGACAGGAUCUGUCCCCGAGGAGUAUCGUGAUUACCCUAACGAAGAACCGUAUCCGUGCAACGAACCAUCAGGCAAGCAACCAACCAUUUGAUCAUAUCAAUACAAUCCCAUGUUCUCGCUCCUGCUCUCAUUUACUGCAUUAAGACAACGCGAUUCAAACUGCUGUGUGCUACGGUAGUUGAACCCAUUUCAUCUGCAUGACCUGUCAUUGCCACAGUAACUAGAUGAAACCCACUAGCAUGUGUAGGAGUUGAUUGAGCCAUAUGUAUGUGUUGUUCCUACCUUGCUAUGCCUGCUAUGCUUAGAGUCGUGUCAGGUCUGGUUCAUCUGGGUGAUGGGCUAGAGUGAAAUGAUUAUGUCGGUAAUGAGAGUGGUGUGGUGAACACGAUUUGGUAAAGGUAUCGAUGAGAGGCCAUGUAGGAGUACAUGGUGGGUUGUUUCAUUGAAGCCGACCUUAAGCACUGAGAUCUGUAUGUGUGAUUUAAGAUACAGCUACUACCAUGCAUUGGGCCCUGAAAUAUGACCCCGCUCGACUUCUUAUUCACCCUAGCUCUCUGUCUAGGAGUUGCAAGUAGUUUCUGGUGUUUGUAGCCUACUGGAGGCCGUGGACAGCGCUGACCGUAGGGGUGGGCUGUGAUGCGGUAGGUACGUGGCACGGUGUACCGAAUACCCGUUAGGUAUCUCGGGAACCCUGUUCACAUCGUUCGGGGCCGUAUGGGAAACCUCGGCCGGACUCCCUGCGGAUGGAACCUGAAUAGGCGAUAAACCUGGACUAGAGGCUUAAGUGUUUAGGUAGGUCGUGGUCUACACCCACGUCGGUUUUCGCUUGAAGUCUGCCGAGCACAUGUCGUGUGCAGACGCUAAGUGGUGGAAACAUGUAUGAAGAAGUACACCCCUGCAGGGUUAUCAUAAUCUAUUCGAAUAGCCGCGUCCGUGGUAAAGGACUACUUGGUUGCCUAUACAGUUCAUAGACAAGUAAAUGGAAACUACUAAAAGCCUCAAGAUAAGUGUGAGUGCCGAGGAUGGCUCUUCCGUAGGAAGACGGAGGUGAAUCCUCGGUAGUGUAUUGAAGUGGUGAGUAGUGGACUCGUGUGCGCAAAACUAUUUCAAGUUGGAGUAUCGUAGGUUAGCCUAGCCAAGAGUCAAAGCUGGCUUGCUGCAAUAACUCCACCAACCCUUCUUGAUACUAUGCAUGUAUGUAGGAUCUGAUGUAAGUCUUGCUGAGUACCUUUGUACUCAUGUUGCUAUAAUCUACAUUUUUUACAGAAGACGCUGCAACCCCUUCUGAUGGGUUCUAUGUAGACGUUGACAUCAACGAGUAGGCUAAAGACCCAGGUGGUGACCCUGAGCUUGUGAUGGACCACGUAGUAUAGCUAGGCUUUCCAAGCCUCUUUUAUUUUACUAGUUGUCUGUACCCAGACAAAGUACUUCCGCUGUUGGCUUGUAUGACUGUAUGAUUUGUAUGUUGGGUCGUGAGACCCGUACCUGUGUGUAUGAUAUGUAUGGCUCCCUGAGCCUUAAAUAAAGUACUUGUGUCAUAGAGUCAUGUUGUGAUGCUUCGUUGUAUUUGCACAUAUCGAGCAUAUUGUGUGUAUGAUUGAAAUGCUUGGUAUGUGUGGGAUCUGACUAUCUAGUUGUUUAUCUUUAGUAGCCUCUCUUACCGGGAAAUGUCUCCUAGUGUUACCGCUGAGCCAUGGUAGCUUGCUACUGCUCUGGAACACUUAGGCUGGCCGGCAUAUGUCCUUCUUCGUUCCUGUGUCUGUCCCUUCGGGGAAAUGUCACGCUUUGAGUACCGGAGUCCUGUUAGCCCGCUACAGCCCGGUUUACCGGAGUCCUGCUAGCCCAGUGCUACAGCCCGGACCCACUUGCUGAUGACCGACACGUUCGAAGCUGGGUCAUGGAUGCCUGUCCCUGUAAGUCUGUGCCACUUUGGGUUUACGACUAGUCAUGUCAGCCCGGGCUCUUUAUCAUAUGGAUGCUAGCGACACUAUCAUAUACGUGAGCCAAAAGGCGCAAACGGUCCCGGGAAAAGGUAAGACGACACCCGUGGGGAUACCGUGCGUGAGGCCGCAAAGUGAUAUGAGGUGUUACCAGCUAGAUCGAUGUGACAUCGAGUCGGGGUCCUGACAUCAAUUAUGCACAUAAAUUUUUUAUCACAUAUUUCAUCACAGAAAUAUCAAAUACUUCAACAAAAUAGUACAACAACAAAUAGUUCAAUACAAUUUAUAUAGUUGAAGAAAUAAAAACUCAUAUUCCAUCACACGUCGCGCCCGACGUCACCCUUGAGCCUCCAUAGAUGCUCUAUCAGAUCUUGCUGCACUUGAUGAUGCACCUGUGGGUCUCGGAUCUCCUGACGCAUACUGAGAUAGGCAGUCCAGGUUGCCGGUAGCUGGUGAUCAACUUCGGCUAGAUGACCCUGCCUAUAGUAUGGUUCAGUGUCAAACACUGGGUCUUCUUGCUCGUUCUCGAUGAUCAUGUUGUGCAAGAUGACACAGCAAGUCAUAAUCUCCCACAUUUGAUCUUUCGACCAGGUCUGAGCGGGGUACCGGACAACAGCAAAUCGAGAUUGGAGCAUACCAAAUGCCCUCUCGACAUCCUUCCUGUAAGCCUCCUGAACCUUCGCAAACCAGCCGUUCUUGCCUCCUGGCACAGGGUUUGAGAUCGUCUUCACAAAUGUCGACCAUCUCGGAUAGAUGCCAUCAGCUAGAUAGUACCCCUUGUUGUAGUGCCGCCCAUUGAUCUCGAAGUUCACCGGAGGAGAAUGACCUUCAACAAGCUUGGCAAAGACAGGAGAGCACUGCAGCACGUUGAUGUCAUUGUGAGUUCCUGGCAUACCAAAGAAGGAGUGACAAAUGCAGAGGUCCUGUGUGGCCACCGCCUCAAGUACCACACUGCAACCGUCUUUGGCGCCUUUGUACAUCCCCUGCCAAGCAAAUGGGCAAUUCUUCCAUUUCCAAUGCAUGCAGUCGACUCUUCCAAGCAUCCCAGGAAAUCCUCUUGCUGCAUUCUGUGCUAGGAUCCGAGAAGUGUCUUCCGCAUUGGGUGUUCUCAAGUAUUGCGGUCCAAACACGGCCACCAUUGUCCGAAAGAACUUGUAGAAACACUCUAUGCUGGUGGACUCGGCCAUGUGCCCAUAGUCGUCGAGUGAAUCACCGGGAGCUCCGUAUGCAAGCAUCCUCAUCGCUGUCGUGCACUUCUGAAUGGAGGUGAAUCCAAGGGCGCCGGUGCAAUCCAUCUUGCACUUGAAGUAGUUGUCGAACUCCCGGAUGGAAUUCACAAUCCUGAGGAAGAGCUUUCGGCUCAUCCGAUAACCGCGCCGAAAUGUUUUCUCGCCGUGAAGUGGAGCAUCGGCGAAGUAGUCGGAGUAGAGCAUGCAGUAGCCUUCGAGACGAUGCCGGUUCAUUGCUUUCACCCGCCCCGGCGCCGAGCCACCUCGCUGCGGCUUUUCAUUGCUCGCCAGCAGCUGGGCAAGGGCGGCGAGCAACAUGAGAUGCUCUUCUUCCUGGACAUCGGCCUCGGCUUCCUCCUCCAACAGCGCGGCGAGCGCUUCCUCAUCAUCCGAGUCCAUCGCCGAGGCAGGCAAAUCGCCGAACACCUUGCGCCCGGUGGGCGUGUACCCGCCGCUAAACUGCCCCUCUGCGGCCGGAAACACCCAGCUGCUGUUGGAGGGGCUGCCGCGGUGAAGCUCUGCUAUUUUUUCGGCGGGGAAUGGCUAUCUAGCGGUGAAGGGCGGCAGGCGGCGUCAGGAUAUAGCUAGUGGCGGCCGAGGGCGCGGGGGUGGGAGGCGAGUCGGGGAAGAAAACCUUAACUUUUCCCCUGCUGGUGUGGGCCAGCCGCGCUUUUCCCUUGCGCCGGGGCUCCCAAUUGCCCCUAGUGCGCCGGGUUUGGCCUGUGACCGCCGAGCGGAAAAAAGGGCCGAACCGGCAAUUUUCGGCGUCCUGGGGGCGCGAGUGGGGAAUUUUUUUGGCGCCGGCGGCGAAAAAGUGGCCUGGGGGGCCUGUUGGGGGCGCGGCCGGAGAUGCUCUAAGCAAUUCAAUGAGUUCAUGAGGGAAGAUAAAAUGACUUCUUCAAAUCAAAGGAAGAGAGUUGGAAGUUUCAAAGGAAUAAUUUGAAGACACUUUGAAGUUAUUUGAAACUCAUUUUUCCAUUUGAAGUUGUUUGAAAUUCCAAAUUUCAAAUCCUCUUGGGAGUUAUUUAGGUUUAAUUCAAAUUAUUUUUCUCCAAAAAAUAAAUAGAUGGAAAUAAGGGUAAAAUGAUUCCCUUCAAUAGAAAAUUAGGAGAAAAUAUAUUUGAAAUCAUUUUGCUAUUUUAAAAACGAUUUUUAUUGAUUUUAAAUGCAAUAGUAGCACUAUUUGACUUUUAUGAAUUUUUAUGGAAUUUAGUUGAACUUGAAAAAUAAUUCAUCUUAUUGCUGCUAUUUUUCUGAGCAUUUUGGUAUAUAAUAUUCCUACGUAAUUUUUUUAGUUAUCUUCCUAUGUUGAAGGUUUUGUUUCUGCAAAAAAAAACACGCGCCCGCCAGCCAGCCCAGGGUCUUCGGCCCAAGAGCCAGCCAGCACACCAAGCCGGCCCAGCAGCGCCCCAGGCCGCUCGAGGCCUCUUGCCUCGUUCUCCCAGGCCCCUCUUCCCUCGCUCGCUCUCUCCCACCGCCGCUGCUAGUGGGGCCCGCAACCCUUCGUCCCUAACUUCCCGCUCCUCCCGUUGAUAUAGAGCACGUUGAUAUAGAGCACGCGUGUGCCGCCCGCAACUGCCGGCUGCUCUGCUCGGGAUAGAGCUCAUCCCCAGUGUCCGCAGCCUCUUCUCGCGCCUAUAAAUUCCCCCGACUCCCCUCGUUCGAUUUUGCCACUCCGCAACGACCCACGCCACUCACAGCCGCCGCCUUCGUCGUUUGGAUCUCGCCCGUCGGAGCUACCUGGCCGGUCCGUUCCCCCGUCCGUAAGACUGCCUCGACCCGUUCUUCUUUGUCAAUUGACUCCCCGCGUCAAGGCGCAUCUGAUUGACAAAAAAUUGCCGCCUUGGUCGUACCAGAGACGACGCCCCGACGCGCCGCGCUCUCGCCGGAGCACCGGAGCUCCGCCGCCUCCCUCCGCUCGUCGCUGGCCACCCCACCGCCCGCCGACCCCACCAGCACGCCGCCCACGCCGCGCCCGACCUCCCCGACCCCUUCGUCGCCGCUGCCCACUGAGGACCGCCGGAGACGCCCCCGUGUCCGCCGUCCGCCGCCUGACGCUAGCGCUGCCGCCCCUGUUCGCCGUCCUCGCUCGCUGUGAGCCGCUGACCCUCAGUCAUUUUUGUUGUUGUUGUAUUAGAUCGGGUAACCGUGGUUUUAUUAAACCGUGCAGUUUAGUAAAAAACCGGUCUCCGGUUUUCUUUUUAUUUAGCCGCGGUAGCCGUUUUAUUUAUUCAGUGGCCGUCCGCCGUUUAGCCUGAGCCGCGAACGCUUCUCAGCCACCCGGAAGCCGCCACGUGGCCAGGGACCUGGUCACGAAUAAAACUUUCACAAUUAAGACCCUUAGAUUUCAGUUUAGCCCCUAAACUUCGAAUGGUUGUAUCUUUUUAACCGUAACUGCAAAUUCGACGAAACCAGCAGCAAAAUGUUCAUGUCCAAUAGUUUUAUCCAGAGAACCAACUUUGAAAACUUUUGGACAAAUUCAAAUUUGAACUUUAUUCAGAUUUGAAUUCAAACUUCAACUGGCCAUAUCUCUUAAACCGUAGCUCCGAUUGGUGUGAUUCUUUUUGCAACGUGUCAUCGUAGCCAAACCCUACCACCUAGACCUUGUCACAAUCUGUCUAUGAUAGUUUUACUAUUAUGCCAUGUAUGGACUUUAGUACACAUCACAGUUUUGAACCCCAUGUCACAAGUUGUUUUGCACUUAGGAUAUUUCCAUGCUAGUUAACUGUGUUGAAUAUUCAUUUGGUUUUUCUGAGACUUUGUGCUUUGCAUGUUCUUCUUGGUUCUCUGAAACGAUUGCUUAUGUGAGUGCAAUGUUUGACUUUAUAGAUUUUCAUCGGAGAGUGAAGAAUAGUUCUAUUAAAUAAAUUUCUGAGAGCGAUAUAAUCUUCAUCAACUAUUACCAGGCAAGUUCACAUUUGACCAUUUUUCCAAUUACCUAUGUUUAUAUUAUGCACUUAGUCCUUUUGUGGUAGGAUUGCAUGGUAGGAUUUAUUGUUACCAGAUGGCUAUGCCGUUACCUAGUAGUUCAUUUAAGGUAGGUAUGAUCUAUACAUCCUUGUCACCACCGUGUAAGUUUAUUUUUGCCUCACUAAAUGUAGACGUGGUUUGGGAAGCGAACAUGGCGAGACAUGAGUGACAAAGUAGUAAUCAGGACCAAGACUUGUAAAUGAACUACCUGGGCGGUAUUUUGUUUGAAUGGUGGCGAAGUACAGUGGGAGCAUGCAUGGUUAAUCCAUGGUGGUGCACCACUAGUGGUUGGCCGCUUAGGCUCAAAGAGAUCAAUAGUAUUCUCAUGUCUAGAAGCUUAAGUGUGCAGCCACAAACCAAUAUGGGCUCUAGCUUAGUUGAGUAGUUAGUGUGACCCAUUCCGGGAUGGGCUAGCAGAUGUAGAAUGAUGUAGGUGUACCGGCCUAUCCAUGGGUUAAGGGGUGACAUUUUUGAAAGAGUAUGUCUCGGUCAUCCUGUUCUCAAACGCCAGGCAGUGCGAGAACUCCAGGGGAGGCGAUCGAGUCUUGUGGGGAAAAGUGCGCAAACCUCUGUAGAGUGUUUUUUUUGAACUUGACAGUGGGAGAGAACUCCCACUGUAUAUUUUCACAUAUCUAUAUAAAUGGGGUGUUUACAUAGACAUACCACUCACACACAUCCAGCUCCACUCUUGGUGGAACCACCAGGGGUGGGGCAACUACACCAUGGUCACUGCUAUACACUUGUCUCUAAGUAUUUAAAGAGGGAAGAAUAAAACACAGUAUGUCUCAGCUAAGUGUGCCACAGUAUGAAAGCAGGGCAGCUCUACGUGUACCCUGAACUCUAUGUUGCAGAAGUCCCAAGUCCUCUUUGAAUCGAUGGAACCAAGAUGCAAUGCUUGGGGUUACACCUCUGAAGUGUUUAUUGUUUCUUUCCUUCCACAAACUCCAGGUAGUAGUGAAAAAUGCUUCAAUGAAGAAAGGAUUGGGCCAGUUGGGUUGUGCGUUUUGCAACGCAUCAAACCUAUUUUGAAAAUCAAUCCAGUGAACACCUAUCUUGGCCCAACACCUUUCGCUGAACUGGCAGGUGAAGAUCAUAUGCUCGAGAGUCUCAUCUGCAUUUUGCCCACAAAGGAGACAUGUGAUGUCAUUCCCAAUGUCAUAGUGUCUUCUUCUCAGCAUGUCACAUGUGUUCAACCUGUCGUGCAGCAACAACCAUCCAAAUACUUUGAUUUUCAUCAUACAGUUUGAUUUCCAAAGGAGCGGGAAGAUGGGAUGAGCUGUUGCAUCACGGGAGAAGUUGUUAUAGUAGUCUUUUGGCUUGUACCCAGCUGCCCCCCAAGCAUAGAGCCAAACAUCAGAUAUUGUUGUGGAUGGGUGUAUGCGGAAUGCUGCAUGUUGGACAUCUUGCACCUCGUUGAGCGCACGAGCAGAUAGCGGUAGGUGAAAGGUUUCAUGCAGUUCAGUGUUGGCCCAGAAGUCAGCGACCGUCAUGUCUUCCUGCAGAGCAAAUGAAAAGGCACGCGGGUGCGAUGUUUGUAGCACAUCAUUUGACCACAAGUCUUUCCAGAGCAGCGUAGUCGAGCCAUCAACUACUUGGACACGAGUGAUCCCUCGGUAGAUGGGCGUUAAUUUGAGAAUGUCUUUCCACCAGAAAGAACCGACUAGAUCAACCGCAUGAGGCACCUGGUUAGCAUACUGAUUAUCCCAAAGCAUAGUAACCCAUGGUACGUCCAGUUUGUUAUAGAACUUGUGGAGAAAUUUUAGCAGGAGGGCUUCGUUGUAGAUUGUAAUGUUGAUCACUCCUAACCCACAUUUACACUUGGGCUUGCACACUAGUUCCCAAGCCGCAAGCGAAUUACAUUUGUCACCUUGGUCGGUUUUCUUUGUCCAGAGACAUCUCCUUCUAAUCUUGUCAAGAAUUUCAAUUAGAUUCGGAGGGAACUUGAGCGUGCACAUGGCAAACACCAGAAGGGAUGUGACCGAUGCAUUGAGCCAGGAGAGGCGGCCCCCAUAGGACAUCAUAGCGAUCGUGGCAGUGAGACGAUGCUCCAUUUUGCAAACUAGAGGCAUGAAUUCUUGAAUGGUUGGUCUUGUAGUGCCAAGUGGCAGGCCAAGGUAGGUGAAAGGCAUUGUACCUAUAGUGCAGCCAAAAAUGGCAGCAAGGCUAGAGGUUGCACUUGCGUCCAGGUUGAUUGGUAUGAGCGUCGACUUGUGAAAGUUAAUUUUGAGGCCAAUAGAGGAUGCAUAGUCAGAGAGAAUGUUCUUGACACGGGCAGCCUGUUGUGGGCAAGCAGGCAAGACAAGGAGGGUGUCGUCCGCAUAUUGGAUCACUGGGUAAUCAUUUUGCCCAUUGCAUGGAAAAGGCAGGCUGAUAUCUCCACGUCGAUAAGCAUCAUUGCCGUGGCUUGAAGUAGUUCAGCUGCCAGGACGAAAAUGAGGGGGGACAGAGGAUCACCUUGCCGCACACCGCAUCGACAAAGGAACUGUCGGCCUGGGACCCCAUUAAGAAGUUUGGACGAGCGACCCGAGGAGAAGAGGCACUUGAUCCAGGAGAUCCACUUGUCACUGAAACCCAUCUGCUGCAUAAUGCAAAUCAUUGGUUCAUGCGUGAUGGUAUCGAAUGCUUUGGCGAAAUCAAGUUUAAGAAUAAUGAUUGGCCGGCCCAAGUUUUGACAGUGAUAAAGAUAUUGAUAAUCUCAUGCCAGACAAUUCUGUAUAGUAUGCCCUUUAAUGAACCCAUACUGAUUCCGGUGAAUGAGGGUGAGAAUGACAAGUUGAAGUCUGUCUGCUAGCAGUUUGGUAAUCAACUUGAGGCAGCAGUUGAGCAAUGUAAUGAGUCUGAAAUCAUUGACUGUUUCUGGAGAGUUAGUCUUAGGUAUAAGUGUGAUAAGACCAUCAUUGAUACUUGUGACAUCUAACGUACCUGCAUAGAACUGAUCACAUAGGGUGUAAAAGUCAUGUCGAAUGAUGGGCCAGCAGGCUUUCAAAAACGCCCCACUAAAGCCAUCUGGGCCAGGUGCGUGGUCCGGAGGCAUACCUUUGACCACAUUAUCGAUUUCCUCAUGUGAAAAAGGCGUGGUAAGUUGGUCAAGAUUUGUAGCGCGGGGGAUAAUGUUUGGAAGAUCAAAUUUCAUGUCUGAAGGGGAGACCGUACCCAGGCGGUUUUUGUAAGUUUGAAACAAGAGGGCCUCUUUUGCAGGAUGAUUGUCGACCAAUGUGCCAUCCUCAAGCUUGAGUGAGGAGAUAUUGUUUUGUCGAUAACGUUCCCUGGCCACUGCUUGGAAAAACUUGGAGUUUUCAUCGCCAAACUUGAUCCAACGAAUAGUACAACGCUUCUUCCAAUAAAGUUUUUGAUAUUUGAGCAGUCUCAGCAAGUGUGACUUUAGGAUACGUUUGAAGUUCAUUUUUGGAAUUGAAAGGAUUCGUUUAUUCUGCCAGGACAUGGUUACAGUUCGUGAUGGCCACUAAUAGACGAGAAAUAUUCUUACUCCAGAUUUUGAGAGUGUGUCGAAGAGCUUUGAAUUUUCAGCAAAGGAUUGUGGCAGCAUUUGCGUUCCAAACUGGCCAUUCCCAAACCUCUCUAACUAUGUCCAUAAACCCUGGGUGUAAGGUCCAGUAGGAUUCAAAACGAAAGAGCUUGGAUCGGGGGAUUUUGGUCUCUAUGGUGACAACGCAAGGGAUGUGAUCAGAAACGGGCUUGCCAAGGGGUUUAACGAGCAUCUUAGGAUAUGCGUUACUCCAAUGCAAGGAUGUGGAGAACCAGUCAAUCUGUUCAAGCAAAGGAUCGGUCUGCAUAUUGCUCCAAGUGUAGGUUCUACCUUUUACCGGAAGCUCAAUCAGUUGCUGCUGACGAAUGAUGUCAUUGAACGUAAUCAUGUCGUGAAUGUUACCCCCAGGUUUAUUAUGAUUGUCUGGAGCUCUCAUGUAGUUAAAGUCGCCCAAAAGUAACCAGUCUUGGUUACGGGGUAUUUGAACAUCGUACAACCAUUGCGUGAAAACAUCCCUGUCUGUACCAGUGCAAGGCCCGUACACGUUAACUAACGUCCAAUGUUGAGAGGAUUGCGUGCUAACGAACUCGAUGGCUAGCGCAAAUGGAUCAGACGAGAGUACUGAACCAGAGAAAACCGAGCUUUUCCAGAUUGUAAGUAACCCCCAGAGGCGCCGCGCGAAGGGACAAAAGCAAAACGAUCAAAUUGUCUAGGACAGCAAGUUUUAAUAGAAGCAAAAGUAACCUCAGGCAUCUUAGUCUCCUAAGGACAAGCGAUAGCAAAACCACUGGUAGAGAUAGCAUUAUUCAGAGCCAGUCGCUUCUUCUCAGAAUUGAGCCCACGGAUAUUCCAUGAGAGCACAUUCCAGCAGCUCAACGACGUCAUAUAGAACUCCAAUAUUAAGCAGAGGUGUGAGAGAGAUCCUCUCCCUGGUCAUCACUAUUAAUCGAAGAGGCAAAAGAUUCGGGCACGGCAGCAGUUUCAGCAAGCAGGGCUUCUUUAGAAAGUUCAGUAGCAGGUAUAGCACAUCUGUUAACUCCAAUGGAUUGUAGAGUAACUAUAGGAGUUGGGGGCGGGACCUCACCAGCAGAAGUAGCAGCAGAUGCUGAUGUGCCAAUAGACGGGAUGACACGGGGCUUAACUUUGGAAUUGUUCUUGCGACUGUCAGAGAGGGGAGGAACCUUGACCCCAUCAUACGUGUUGGAGCGGAGACUGCGGCGCACUUCAGUUGUGGAGAUAGGGGCAGCAGCCCUGGUCCUACGGGGGCGCGGGCCAGUGGUGGCCAUAGAAGCAGUUGCCUCUGAGAUCACAGAAGGUUCUGAAGGUGGAAUGUGCACAACUUGUUCUGUGUCCAUUGGGGCGUCUUCAGUGUUGGGCGGCAUGGCGGGCUCAAUGGCGUUUUCCACACUAGCAUGUUCAGAUAGGUCCUCAAUGAUCACAGCGGAGGCAGCCAAAGCAGAAGUAGAGCUUGAUUGCUGGGAAAAGGUCAGACUAGUAGAAUCCUGUGUGAUCAAGACAGACAACUGAACCUGGUUUGUUCUCAGACCAAACCCCUCUAUCCAAGGUCCAAAAGUUGCAAGCAUUGGGCUAACAGCUUGGAAGAUGAAUGUGUUAAGAUUCAGGCGUGGGAUUGGGUCAUUCAGCAGCCUGGAAAGGAUCUCAUCUCCUUGAGCAGAUAAACCAAAUCUGACACCUUGAUCAUUGAUCUCCAGUGUGAUGUUAAGAGAUUCAAAGCUUGCACUGUCAGACAGCUGUAUAGCUGGAUCAGCCGGGAUGAGAAUGUCAGACUGGGUCAAGCUUGAACUGUCAAACUGGGUGAUCGAAUCAUUCCAAGCUUGGAGAGCAUUAUCAGUGACAUUGUUUUCAGGGACUAACCCAUGUUGCACAGUCAGACCCUGCGCAGCAAGCCAGGCUUGUUAGUUCACCAAAUGGAGCGGCAUUUGCGGGAGUGGAGGAGCAGCGGGCGCCUCCCAAGUGCCCCAUCCAGUGUUGUCAUCCACUUGUUGAGCCUCAUUGUUGCCAGCUGCGGGUGCACCAUUCUGAAUGAGCCAAUUGUGAACUUGCUGCUGAUAUAACUGUUCUGCAGUGAGUUCAGGGCCAAACUGUGGAUGUGGGUUGCCAUCGGGGGGUGGCAUUUCCUCAGGUGCAGCAGGUACAUCAGGGAGGAGGCCAUUCCAGUCGUUGCUGCGACGGAUGGUCACUACUACUGUCCAACUGUCGUGCGCACCACCCAGCUGCCAUACCACAAAGCUCUUGGGGAUGAGGCGCAGACUAAGUACUCUGACUUUUAGAAGGAUGAAUCUGCGGUCCUGACGCGGAUUAUACCAGGAAACUAAGGAACCAUAUCCACCCAAGGCCUUAGUGAUGUAAUAGUCCAUUUGGUAGUCAUACGGAAAGCCGAAGAACAUAAUCCAAAUCUCAGGCCCAAACGGUGCAGCUCUACGAUUAAGAGCCGCAUUGUGCGAAACGAAGGUGAUCAACAGAUCUUCAUCUUCAAGCUCAAGCGGUGUGUUGACAGCAUUAUCUCUCAUAAAGGAAUCCACAAAACCAAAAAUCCCAACACCAAGGGGGUGAUCCGAUGGCGGACGGUGGCCCGGCGAUGCAGGGGCAGAUACUCACUGGCUUCUGCAAUGGCCAGGAACUCAUGGCUGAGUGGAGCAAUCGGGCCAACGACCAUGCCGCUGCGCACAAGACUAUCGGCCGGCCCUGGCUCAGCGGCAAAACCCGGCGGGAGGAAAGGCACAGGGUUCAGUGGGUAGUUCGCCAUUGUGGUGGAAGGGAUCAGAGGGGAGGACGGUGGUGCGGAGAUGGGAUGCAACUGCAAUGGCGCAAGCUGCAGCAAAGCGUCAGACUGUGGCGAUGGGACUGGACGGGAUGUGGCCCAUUGGGUUCUCGAGGCGGAAGCUGAAGCGUGAAUGGGGGCGGUAGAAGGCAAAGUUGCCUUUGCAACCUCUGUAGAGUGUUAAAACCUAAUCGAUUAACCAUGUCCCCGGUUACGGACAACUUGAGCAUCUAGUAGUGGAAAUGAUGGGAGAUCUCAUCACUCUUAAUUAAACAGUUGGUUUUUAAAUGAAACAUUGGGAAUGGAUUGAGUUGGGUUUGCCAACUCAUCCUAUGCUAUACUGUAGUGAUAGACUAAUGUCUUUUAUUCUAGGGAAAAACUAGCUUUAUGCAAAAACUAAACUUAGAGUUUUCCACCAGCCAAAUUGCAUGUACAAAUAGGUUCAUUAUUCUUAUGAUGUGACUUGCCAGUACAUUCAAUGUACUGACCUAUAGGGCUGCAACGUCUUAUGUUGCAGGAAUUUCUACGACGAGUAAGAAUUAUGUUGUAGGGUUAUCGUCUACACUCAACUUGCCGUUGGCGUUGAUGGGACUCCACACCCGUUCGAUUGUUUCCACUGAGAUUUAUGAGGUAUAUAUCAGUUUUGCGUUAUUUAUACAUUUGAUUGAACUUUGAUAUAUACAUUGAUGUACUGUGUGUGCCAGCAUAUCAAUCCAGGGAUGGCCCGGAUACACAGAGGCUUGACAGUUUGAGCUCGGGUCGCUACAGAGAUGGUAUCAGAGCACAUGUUGACUAUAGGACGUGACCCUAGAAACUGGAAAGCCCUUAGGAAAAGAUUUCUCUAAAAGUUUAUUUUCAAAAAGAUCCUUUACCUCUCUUCAUUUCUGAGCUUUAUCAAAUCUUUCCUUUUACCCCAAAUAGGUAGGCAAUAUCCCUUUUCCCUUUCACCACGCGGAGGAUCAACUGAUGAGACCACUCCGAGAAGGGCAAGAUAUCGGCCAACUGAUGGCCACUUCAAAGUAAAGAGGAUUUCAUCAUGCAUUAGAACAGUUAAUGCUACGACAGUCGAAGACUCGAAGAAUUUGAAGACACUGAAGAAUUCCAAGAUUUAUAUGACCUUUAGAAGACCAAACCCUUGUUGUGUACUCACGUUAGAUGCGAUGAUUUGUGAGCUGUCAUAUUUGGUGUGUGUUUUCCAUUGCAACAAAUAAAACUUAUUUUCAAAAACUAUAUUGUUUGUAUUGUGUGUAUCUUUCUCUAUCCCUCUUAUCUCAUCCCAAAACCCUUGGACCCAAUAGAUGAUGAAUGAAGAUGGACUUGUAUUCUCUGGACCGAUCACUCGGUUAGAGGAAGAGCUAUGGAUUCAAAACAUGGAGAGUCACUUCGAGAGCAAUUUGGUUGCAAGGAAGUAUGAGGUUCAAUAUGCUCUUUAAUACUUUACAAAAAGUGCUACAACAUGGUGGAAAAUGCAUCAAGCCAUACAAGGAUGUAAUGGAGCAAAAACUUGGGAGGAAUUGAAGAAGACUCUGUUGGGAUCCCGUCUUAUCCGGAAGCACGGUGAUAAACUGAUGAAGAAACCUUGUGCCUGCAAGAUAUGUGGAGAAAUAGGACACACCCAUGAAGAACACAAGGAUGGAUGCCCUCAUUAUGAAGGAAAUCACCCAGCAGAAGAGUGCCCAACUAGGCAGGUUACUUGUUUCUUGUGUGAAGGAACUACGCACUACCCUGCCCAGUGUCAUAUUUACCCCAGGGUACAAGAAAUUACCAAGAACCAGAAGGAAGAAGUGAAAGAAGCCCUCAGGGAAAGUUUAAGAAAACUGGUGAUGAAAGAAGAUGUUGACGACCCUGAUGGAGAAAGCCUAAACAGAUUUUACUCCAAUGCUUGCUAUGCAUGUGGAGAAGAAGGACAUUUCUCACAAUAUUGCGUGAAGGAAAACCAAGAGUAUCUGGGAGACUUCCCGAUAGAAGAAGUGGGGUUUGAUCGACAAGAGAUAGAAGAAUUGAUCGGAACGAAGAAGUCGAGGAAGAGAAAGAGCAUGUAUCCCCAGAACAACCCAGUUUCUGCAGAAAAGGACCUGAGUCAUAUCACUUGUUACAGCUGCAAGGAUUUAGCUCAUUAUUCUAGCAAAUGCCCACCAAGGAAGCCAAGAACCCAAGGAACCAAGAUAACCACCAGGAACCCCUGGAUUUGUCUGACGCCAUUUGUUUACGCUGCAAAGGAGUAGGACAUUUUGUCAGAGAAUGUUCAGACCCGAGGAAAGCUUGAGCAGAGUAGUUGAGAUCUUGAUAUUGGAAUAAAGCAUGUAAUAAAUGUGGAACGCACUUUUAUUUUCGUGGGGGGUGUUGAUACGUCUCCAACGUAUCUAUAAUUUUUGAUUGCUCCAUGCUAUAUUAUCUACUGUUUUGGACUAUAUUGGGCUUUAUUUUCCACUUUUAUAUUAUUUUUGGGACUAACCUAUUAACCGGAGGCCCAGCCCAGAAUUACUGUUUUUUUGCCUAUUUCAGUGUUUUGGAUAAACGGAAUAUCAAACGGAGUCCAAACGGAAUAAAAUCUUCGGGAACGUGAUUUUCUCACCGAACGUGAUCCAUGAGACUUGGACCUUGCUCUAAGGAACAAAAGAGGCGGUCACGAGGGUGGGGGGUGCCCCCCCUAGGGCGCGCCCCCCUGCCUCGUGGGCCCCUCGUUGCUCCUCCGGCGUACUUCUUCCUCCUAUAUAUACACAUGUACCCCCAAACGAUCAGAAGAGGAGCCAAAAACCUAAUUCCACCGCCGCAACUUUCUGUAUCAGAAGAGAUCCCAUCUUGGGGCCUGUUCCGGAGCUCUGCCAGAAGAUGGCCGUCAUCACGGAGGGCUUCUACAUCCUCCUAGCCCCUCCGAUGAAGUGUGAGUUGUUUACCUCAGACCUUCGGGUCCAUAGUUAGUAGCUAGAUGGCUUCUUCUCUCUCUUUGAAUCUCAAUACAAAGUUCUCCCCCUCUCUUGUGGAGAUCUAUUCGAUGUAAUCUUCUUUUCGCGGUGUGUUUGUUGAGACCGAUGAAUUGUGGGUUUAUGAUCAAGUCUAUCUAUGAAUAAUAUUUGAAUCUUCUCUGAAUUCUUUUAUGUAUGAUUGGUUAUCUAUGCAACUCUAUUCGAAUUGUCCGUUUGGUUUGGCCAACUAGAUUGGUAGUUCUUGCCAUGGGAGAAGUGCUUAGCUUUGGGUUCGAUCUUGCGGUGUCCUUACCUAGUGACAGAAGGGGCAGCAAGGCACGUAUUGUAUCGUUGCCAUCGAGGAUAACAAGAUGGGGUUUAUUUCAUAUUGCAUGAAUUUAUCUCUCUACAUCAUGUCAUCUUGCUUAAGGCGUUACUCUGUUUUUAACUUAAUACUCUAGAUGCAUGCUGGAUAGCGGUCGAUGAGUGGAGUAAUAGUAGUAGAUGCAGAAUCGUUUCGAUCUACAUGUCACGGACGUGAUGCCUAUAUACAUGAUCAUGCCUAGAUAUUCUCAUAACUAUGCUCAAUUCUGUCAAUUGCUCAAUAGUAAUUUGUUCACCCACCGUAGAAUACUUAUGCUCUUGAGAGAAGCCACUAGUGAAACCUAUGGCCCCCGGGUCUAUUCUCAUCAUAUCAAUCUCCAUCACUUUAAAUCUUGCUUUGUUUUUACUUUGCUUUUACUUUUUAAUUUGCAUCUUUAUACCAAAAAUACCAAAAAUAUUAUAUCUAUCAGAUCUCAUUCUCGUAAGUGACCGUGAAGGGCUUGACAACCCCUAAUCGCGUUGGUUGCGAGUAGCUAUCGCUUUGUGCAGGUACGAGGGACUUGAGCGUGGGCUCCUACUGGAUUGAUACCUUGGUUCUCAAAAACUGAGGGAAAUACUUACGCUACUCUGCUGCAUCAUCCCUUCGUCUUCGGGGAAAACCAACGCUAGCUCAAGAUGUAGCAGGUGUUGAGUUGAGUUACCGAAUGGAAAUUGUAAUAGCUCAUGAAGAAAUAAAAAUUGAGUUGUUUGGAAUCUCAUAUGAAAUGUUAUGAGUUGUUUUUUGAUUGUGAGUGCCUUUCUCACUAUGUCACCCAGACAUAAACCUUGAACCCAUGGACAAGCUGACCCCAAAACCUUCACUAAAAAAACGACAUUUCACCCAAGGAAAUACAUGCAUUAUCCUAAGUACCCCUUCUAUCUUAUACCUGCAGAUGGCAACCCUUUACGAGUCUUUUCUCAAGGGCCCAGAAACGAUCAUGACCCUAACUAGUGAUCAGGAUUACCCAAAGAUCCUCAAGGACAUGAUGAAGCAUAUUCAUCUUGAAGGAGAUGCAGUCUACAAGGGUUAUCCUUUCAUGGAGAAUGGAGUUGAACUUUGGUACGUGGAGGUACACCUCCAUCGUGUGAAGGGAGUUUUCCCAAAGAGUAUGGGGCAAUACUUUUUCAUUUCUCGAGUACCCCGAGCAACAUUCUUCGACUCUGUUCGUGAAACUGCUAUGGAAGCCAUACGUCAGAUAGGAGAAAUACUUGAAGCCAGACUUCGUUAUACUCAGGAAUACCCGAGGGAGGUGCAUGCAAAGAUGAUGGAGAUGAAGCUCAUGGCCACCAUGAUGAAGCAAAAGGUCGAUGAUUUCAAGGACCACAUUGUACAAUUCCAGUGGGACUAAAUUAUCUUCAAGAAGGGCAAAUGAAUAAAGAUGGAAGUAAUGCUUGACCAUAGCAAACUAUGUGGAUGGCAGCUUUUUGUAAUAGAGUACUUUUGAAAUUUGAGUUUUGAGUAGUGGUUAAGGAUGUAAUAAAGGAUUUGAUAUGAAGAGAAUUAUGGAUGAACCAGUGCAUUUUUUGGCGAUACCUGUCUGUGCGAACACUUGACCAAUGGAAAAGGAAAUGUAUUCCAUAGAGUGAAGUUUGGACAAAUGAGUUGGAGUUUGGUUUUAGUUAUGAUGGUUACCCCAAGAGUAUGAAGGAAUGAAGUACUAUUGGAUUUAAAGGAGAUGUAAUGUUGGAAUAUGGAACAAUAGUAACUCCAAGGAUGAGUUAAAGAUAUACAAGUGUUGAAGUGGGCCAUAACCCACAGGACCCAGGAUUUGAUAAGGAAACAAGCACAAUCUUGUUGAAGAAAAUAAUUCUGAAAGAAGCCAUGAUUUCAUCAGCAUACGUUUCAUAGGAGGUUACAUAAACCCAGGAGUUGUGAAUAAACGAUAGAGGUUUUCUUUGGCUUGCAGAACCAAUGGAUUUAUCCGAACCCAGUUCGUGGAGAAGAGAAGUUUUGCAAUGCUUGUGAGGAUGCCCAAGGGCUAGAAUGCGUGAUUCACUAUCUACGUAUGUGGUAAUGAUUCAAGUACGACAUGGAUUGGCCCCCAUACCGGAGACUUCUAUCAUGAGCUAUCAUAUGAUUGAUAGAAAAUCAGAGAGCCUUAAAACCCUAGAAGAGUGUCGACACGACAAGCCAAAAGCCUUAGAAUGGCAGGAUGAUGGAAACCCUGUACAGGCACCUAUUGCCUACCGUAGGUUAUGCGGUGAGGUUCAACCCAGACCCAUUUCCUGUAGGAGGAACCAGAAAUUGUCGACCACCAUCAGGUUUUCGAUAGUUGUUUAGCAUUGGCGCCAGACCUGUCAAGUCUCAGAAGGAUCCUAUUUUGAUGCAAGGAAUCCUGAUAUUGAGGAAAAGGCCAUGCCCUUACCAGAAGAGCAAAAGUGAAGGGGUUAUCUCAGAGAAUAUGAGAAGACCGACACCGUCAACGCAAAGGAUGGAGUUCAUGAGUUUUAUUGGAACUGUAACCAUGCUUCUAAGGGUGGUAGCACCCCAUUCCUUGUGUUGAUGAAUGGAUUUUCAAGGAGAACCCCCAAACCUAACAUUCUUUCUAGCCUCUUCGAAUCUCGAGGACGAUAUUCAUUUUAAGGGUGGUAGUUUGUAACAUCCCAAAAUUCUAAAUUCUGGAAUGUUAUGUUAAAUAAUUAAUUAUGAUUGUUUGUUUGUUGUGUGAUUGAUUGUGUGAAAAUGAUUGGAAAUUGAAAACUUUUUGAAAGUAGAAUGAGAGGGAAUAAAAGGACUUUCCCGAAACUUUUCAUCUUGCAUUUUGAUCUUCCUGAAUUCAAAUUCAUUUCAUCAUAAAACCCUAGAGUGAAGAUAAUAUGACUUCUUCCAUUUAAAGAAAUGAAAAAAGGGGUUUGAAAAUGAUUUGAAUUCCAUUUGAAAAAUUUUAAAUUUUGAAACUUUAAGCAACUCAAUGAGUACAUGAGGGAAGAUAAAAUGACUUCUUCAGAUCGAUGGAAGAGAGUUGGAAGUUUCAAAGGAAUAAUUUGAAGUCACUUUGAAGUUAUUUGAAACUCAUUUUUCCAUUUGAAGUUGUUUGAAAUUCCAAAUUUCUAAUCCUCUUGGGAGUUAUUUAGUUUUAAUUCAAAUUAUUUUUCCCCUAAAAAUAAAUAGAUGGGAAUAAGGGUAAAUUGAUUCCCUUCAAUAGAAAAUUAGGAGAAAUAUAUCUGAAAUCAUUUUGCUAUUUUAAAAAUGAUUUUUAUUGAUUUUAAAUGCAAUAGUAGCACUGUUUGAAUUUUAUGAAUUUUUAUGGAAUUUAGUUGAACUUGAAAAAUAAUUCAUCUUAUUGCUACUAUUUUUCUGAGCAUUUUGGUAUAUAAUAUUCCUACGUAAAUUUUUUAGUUAUUUUCCUAUGUUGAAGUUUUUGUUUCUGCAAAAAAAAACAUGCGCCCGCCAGCCGGCCCAGGGCCUUCGGCCCAAGAGCCAGCCAGCGUACCGAGCCGGCCCAGCAGCGCCCCAGGCCGCCCGAGGCCUUACGCCUCGCUCGCGCGCGCCCCUCUUCCCUCGCUCGCUCUCUCCCACUACCGCUGCCAGUGGGGCCCGCAACCCUCCGUCCCUAACCUCCCGCUCCUCCCCUUCAGAUAGGGCACGCGCGUGCUGCCCGCAACUGCCGGCAGCUCCGCUCGGGAUAGAGCUCAUCCGCAGUCUCCGCAGCCUCUUCUUGAGCCUAUAAAUUCCCCCGACUCCCCUCGUUCGAUUCUGCCAUUCCGCAACGAUCCACGCCGCUCACAGCCGCCGCCUUCGUCGUUUGGAUCUUGCCCGCCGGAGCUACCUCGCCGGUCCGUUCCAUCGUCCGUAAGACUUCCUCGACCCCGUUCUUCUUUGUCAAUUGACUCCCCGCGUCGAGGCGCAUCUGAUUGACAAAAAUUUGCCGCCUAGGUCGUACCAGAGACGUCGCCCCGACGCGCCGUGCUCUUGCCGAAGCACCGGAGCUCCGCCGCCACCCUCCGCUCGUCGCUGGCCACCCCACCGCCCGCCGACCCCACCAGCACCCCGCCCACGCCGCGCCUGACCUCCCCGACCCCUUCGUCGCCGCUGAGGACCACCAGAGACGCCGCCCUGUCCGCCGUCCGCCGCCUGACGCCAACGGCACCGCACCUGUUCGCCGUCCUCGCUCGCUAUGAGCCGCUGAUCCUCGCUCAUUUUUUGUUGUUGUUGUUGUAUUAGAUCGGGUAACCGUGGUUUUAUUAAACCGUGCGGUUUAGUAAAAAACCGGUCUCCGGUUGUCUUUUUAUUUAGCCACGGUAGCCGUUUUAUUUAUUCAGUGGCCGUCCGCCGUUUAGCCUGAGCCGCGAACGCUGCUCAGCCACCCGGAAGCCGCCACGUGGCCAGGGACCUAGUCGUGAAUAAAACUUUCAUAGUCAAGUCCCUGAGUUUUCAAUUUAGCCCCUCAACUUCGAAUGGUUGUAUCUUUUUAACCGUAGCUCCAAAUUCGACGAAACCAGUGGCAAGAUGUUCGCCUCGAUUAGUUUUAUCCAGAGAACCAACUUUGAAAACUUUUGGCCAAAUUCAAAUUUGAAAUUUAUUCAGAUUUGAAUUCAAACUUCAACUGGCCAUAUCUCUUAAACCGUAGCUCCGAUUGGUGUGAUUCUUUUUGCAACGUGUCAUCAUAGCCAAACCCUACCACCUGGACCUUGUCACAAUACUUUUCACACAACUAGAAUCUGUCUAUGAUAGUUUUACUAUUAUGCCAUGCAUGCACUUUAGUACACAUCAUAGUUUUGAACCCCAUGUCACAAGUUGUUUUGCACUUAGGAUAUUUCCAUGCUAGUUAACUGUGUUGAAUGUUCAUUUGGUUUUUCUGAGACUUUGUGCUUUGCAUGUUCUUCUUGGUUCUCUGAAACGAUUGUUGAGAGUGACGAAUAGUUCUAUGAAGUAAAUUUCUGAGAGUGGUAUAAUCUUCAUCAACUAUUACCAGGCAAGUUCACAUUUGACCAUUUUUCCAAUUACCUAUGUUUAUAUUAUGCACUUAGUCCUUUUGUGGUAGGAUUGCAUGGUAGGAUUUAUUGUUACCAGAUGGCUAUGCCGUUACCUAGUAGUUCAUUUGAGGUAGGUAUGAUCUAUACAUCCUUGUCACCACCGUGUAAGUUUAUUUUUGCCUCGCUAAAUGUAGACGUGGUUUGGGAAGCGAACAUGGCGAGACAUGAGUGACAAACUAGUAAUCAAGACCAAGACUUGUAAAUGAACUACCUGGGCGGUAUUUGAUUUGAAUGGUGGUGAAGUACAGUGGGAGCAUGCAUGGUUAAUCCAUGGUGGUGCACCACUAGUGGUUGGCCGCUCAGGCUCAAAGAGAUGAAUCGUAUUCUCAUGUCUAGAAGCUUAUGUGUGCAGCCACAAGCCAAUAUGGGCUCUGGCUUAGUUGAGUAGUUAGUGUGACCCCUUCCGGGAUGGGCUAGCAGAUGUAGAAUGAUGUAGGUGUACCGGCCUAUCCAUGGGUUAAGGGGUGACAUUUUUGAAAGAGUAUGUCUCGGUCAUCCUGUUCUCAAACGCCAGGCAGUGCGAGAACUCCAGGGGAGGCGAUCGAGUCUUGUGGGGAAAAGUGCGCAAACCUCUGUAGAGUGUUUUUUUUGAACUUGACAGUGGGAGAGAACUCCCACUGUAUAUUUUCACAUAUCUAUAUAAAUGGGGUGUUUACAUAGACAUACCACUCACACACAUCCAGCUCCACUCUUGGUGGAACCACCAGGGGUGGGGCAACUACACCAUGGUCACUGCUAUACACUUGUCUCUAAGUAUUUAAAGAGGGAAGAAUAAAACACAGUAUGUCUCAGCUAAGUGUGCCACAAUAUGAAAGCAGGGCAGCUCUACGUGUACCCUGAACUCUAUGUUGCAGAAGUCCCAAGUUCUCUUUGAAUCGAUGGAACCAAGAUGCAAUGCUUGGGGUUACACCUCUGAAGUGUUUAUUGUUUCUUUCCUUCCACAAACUCCAGGUAGUAGUGAAAAAUGCUUCAAUGAAGAAAGGAUUGGGCCAGUUGGGUUGUGCGUUUUGCAACGCAUCAAACCUAUUUUGAAAAUCAAUCCAGUGAACACCUAUCUUGGCCCAACACCUUUCGCUGAACUGGCAGGUGAAGAUCAUAUGCUCGAGAGUCUCAUCUGCAUUUUGCCCACAAAGGAGACAUGUGAUGUCAUUCCCAAUGUCAUAGUGUCUUCUUCUCAGCAUGUCACAUGUGUUCAACCUGUCGUGCAGUAGCAACCAUCCAAAUACUUUGAUUUUCAUCAUACAGUUUGAUUUCCAAAGGAGCGGGAAGAUGGGAUGAGCUGUUGCAUCACGGGAGAAGUUGUUAUAGUAGUCUUUUGGCUUGUACCCAGCUGUCCCCCAAGCAUAGAGCCAAACAUCAGAUAUUGUUGUGGAUGGGUGUAUGCGGAAUGCUGCAUGUUGGACAUCUUGCACCUCGUUGAGCGCACGAGCAGACAGCGGUAGGUGAAAGGUUUCAUGCAGUUCAGUGUUGGCCCAGAAGUCAGCGACCGUCAUGUCUUCCUGCAGAGCAAAUGAAAAGGCACGCGGGUGCGAUGUUUGUAGCACAUCAUUUGACCACAAGUCUUUCCAGAGCAGCGUAGUCGAGCCAUCAACUACUUGGACACGAGUGAUCCCUCGGUAGAUGGGCGUUAAUUUGAGAAUGUCUUUCCACCAGAAAGAACCGACUAGAUCAACCGCAUGAGGCACCUGGUUAGCAUACUGAUUAUCCCAAAGCAUAGUAACCCAUGGUACGUCCAGUUUGUUAUAGAACUUGUGGAGAAAUUUUAGCAGGAGGGCUUCGUUGUAGAUUGUAAUGUUGAUCACUCCUAACCCACAUUUACACUUGGGCUUGCACACUAGUUCCCAAGCCGCAAGCGAAUUACAUUUGUCACCUUGGUCGGUUUUCUUUGUCCAGAGACAUCUCCUUCUAAUCUUGUCAAGAAUUUCAAUUAGAUUCGGAGGGAACUUGAGCGUGCACAUGGCAAACACCAGAAGGGAUGUGACCGAUGCAUUGAGCCAGGAGAGGCGGCCCCCAUAGGACAUCAUAGCGAUCGUGGCAGUGAGACGAUGCUCCAUUUUGCAAACUAGAGGCAUGAAUUCUUGAAUGGUUGGUCUUGUAGUGCCAAGUGGCAGGCCAAGGUAGGUGAAAGGCAUUGUACCUAUAGUGCAGCCAAAAUGGCAGCAAGGCUAGAGGUUGCACUUGCGUCCAGGUUGAUUGGUAUGAGCGUCGACUUGUGAAAGUUAAUUUUGAGGCCAAUAGAGGAUGCAUAGUCAGAGAGAAUGUUCUUGACACGGGCAGCCUGUUAUGGGCAAGCAGGCAAGACAAGGAGGGUGUCGUCCGCAUAUUGGAUCACUGGGUAAUCAUUUUGCCCAUUGCAUGGAAAAGGCAGGCUGAUAUCUCCAUGUCGAUAAGCAUCAUUGCCGUGGCUUGAAGUAGUUCAGCUGCCAGGACGAAAAUGAGGGGGGACAGAGGAUCACCUUGCCGCACACCGCAUCGACAAAGGAACUGUCGGCCUGGGACCCCAUUAAGAAGUUUGGACGAGCGACCCGAGGAGAAGAGGCACUUGAUCCAGGAGAUCCACUUGUCAUUGAAACCCAUCUGCUGCAUAAUGCAAAUCAUUGGUUCAUGCGUGAUGGUAUCGAAUGCUUUGGCGAAAUCAAGUUUAAGAAUAAUGAUUGGCCGGCCCAAGUUUUGACAGUGAUAAAGAUAUUGAUAAUCUCAUGCCAGACAAUUCUGUAUAGUAUGCCCUUUAAUGAACCCAUACUGAUUCCGGUGAAUGAGGGUGAGAAUGACAAGUUGAAGUCUGUCUGCUAGCAGUUUGGUAAUCAACUUGAGGCAGCAGUUGAGCAAUGUAAUGAGUCUGAAAUCAUUGACUGUUUCUGGAGAGUUAGUCUUAGGUAUAAGUGUGAUAAGACCAUCAUUGAUACUUGUGACAUCUAACGUACCUUCAUAGAACCGAUCACAUAGGGUGUAAAAGUCAUGUCGAAUGAUGGGCCAGCAGGCUUUCAAAAACGCCCCACUAAAGCCAUCUGGGCCAGGUGCGUGGUCCGGAGGCAUACCUUUGACCACAUUAUCGAUUUCCUCAUGUGAAAAAGGCGUGGUAAGUUGGUCAAGAUUUGUAGCGCAGGGGAUAAUGUUUGGAAGAUCAAAUUUCAUGUCUGAAGGGGAGACCGUACCCAGGCGGUUUUUGUAAGUUUGAAACAAGAGGGCCUCUUUUGCAGGAUGAUUGUCGACCAAUGUGCCAUCCUCAAGCUUGAGUGAGGAGAUAUUGUUUUGUCGAUAACGUUCCCUGGCCACUGCUUGGAAAAAUUUGGAGUUUUCAUCGCCAAACUUGAUCCAACGAAUAGUACAACGCUUCUUCCAAUAAAGUUUUUGAUAUUUGAGCAGUCUCAGCAAGUGUGACUUUAGGAUACGUUUGAAGUUCAUUUCUGGAAUUGAAAGGAUUCGUUUAUUCUGCCAGGACAUGGUUACAGUUCGUGAUGGCCACUAAUAGACGAGAAAUAUUCUUACUCCAGAUUUUGAGAGCGUGUCGAAGAGCUUUGAAUUUUCGGCAAGGGAUUGUGGCAGCAUUUGCGUUCCAAACUGGCCAUUCCCAAACCUCUCUAACUAUGUCCAUAAACCCUGGGUGUAAGGUCCAGUAGGAUUCAAAACGAAAGAGCUUGGAUCGGGGGAUUUUGGUCUCUAUGGUGACAAUGCAAGGGAUGUGAUCAGAAACGGGCUUGCCAAGGGGUUUAACGAGCAUCUUAGGAUAUGUGUUACUCCAAUGCAAGGAUGUGAAGAACCAGUCAAUCUGUUCAAGCAAAGGAUCGGUCUGCAUAUUGCUCCAAGUGUAGGUUCUACCUUUUACCGGAAGCUCAAUCAGUUGCUGCUGACGAAUGAUGUCAUUGAACGUAAUCAUGUCGUGAAUGUUACCCCCAGGUUUAUUAUGAUUGUCUGGAGCUCUCAUGUAGUUAAAGUCGCCCAAAAGUAACCAGUCUUGGUUACGGGGUAUUUGAACAUCGUACAACCAUUGCGUGAAAACAUCCCUGUCUGUACCAGUGCAAGGCCCGUACACGUUAACUAACGUCCAACGUUGAGAGGAUUGCAUGCUAACGAACUCGAUGGCUAGCGCAAAUGGAUCAGAUGAGAGUACUGAACCAGAGAAAACCGAGCUUUUCCAGAUUGUAAGUAACCCCCAGAGGCGCCGCGCGAAGGGACAAAAGCAAAACGAUCAAAUUGUCUAGGAUAGCAAGUUUUAAUAGAAGCAAAAGUAACCUCAGGCAUCUUAGUCUCCUGAAGACAAGUGAUAGCAAAACCACUGGUAGAGAUAGCAUUAUUCAGAGCCAGUCGCUUCUUCUCAGAAUUGAGCCCACGGAUAUUCCAUGAGAGCACAUUCCAGCAGCUCAACGACGUCAUAUAGAACUCCAAUAUUAAGCAGAGGUGUGAGAGAGAUCCUCUCCCUGGUCAUCACUGUCAAUCAAAGAGGCAGAAUAUUCGGGCACGACAGCAGUUUCAGCAAGCAGGGCUUCUUCAGAAAGUUCAGUAGCAGGUAUAGCACAUCUGUUAACUCCAAUGGAUUGUAGAGUAACUAUAGGAGUUGGGGGCGGGACCUCACCAGCAGAAGUAGCAGCAGAUGCUGAUGUGCCAAUAGACGGGAUGACACAGGGCUUAACUUUGGAAUUGUUCUUGCGACUGUCAGAGAGGGGAGGAACCUUGACCGCAUCAUACGUGUUGGAGCGGAGACUGCGACGCACUUCAGUUGUGGAGAUAGGGGCAGCAGCCCUGGUCCUACGGGGGCGCGGGCCAGUGGUGGCCAUAGAAGCAGUUGCCUCUGAGAUCACAGAAGGUUCUGAAGGUGGAAUGUGCACAACUUGUUCUGUGUCCAUUGGGGCGUCUUAAGUGUUGGGCGGCAUGGCGGGCUCAAUGGCGUUUUCCACACUAGCAUGUUCAGAUAGGUCCUCAAUGAUCACAGCGGAGGCAGCCAAAGCAGAAGUAGAGCUUGAUUGCUAGGAAAAGGUCAGACUAGUAGAAUCCUGUGUGAUCAAGACAGACAACUGGACCUGGUUUGUUCUCAGACCAAACCCCUCUCUCCAAGGUCCAAAAGUUGCAAGCAUUGGGCUAACAGCUUGGAAGAUGAAUGUGUUAAGAUUCAGGCGUGGGAUUGGGUCAUUCAGCAGCCUGGAAAGGAUCUCAUCUCCUUGAGCAGAUAAACCAAAUCUGACACCUUGAUCAUUGAUCUCCAGUGUGAUGUUAAGAGAUUCAAAGCUUGCACUGUCAGACAGCUGUAUAGCUGGAUCAGCCGGGAUGAGAAUGUCAGACUGGGUCGAGCUUGAACUGUCAGACUGGGUGAUCGAAUCAUUCCAAGCUUGGAGAGCAUUAUCAGUGACAUUGUUUUCAGGGACUAACCCAUGUUGCACAGUCAGACCCUGCGCAGCAAGCCAGGCUUGGUAGUUCACCAAAUGGAGCGGCAUUUGCGGGAGUGGAGGAGCAGCGGGCGCCUCCCAAGUGCCCCAUCCAGUGUUGUCAUCCACUUGUUGAGCCUCAUUGUUGCCAGCUGCGGGUGCACCAUUCUGAAUGAGCCAAUUGUGAACUUGCUGCUGAUAUAACUGUUCUGCAGUGAGUUCAGGGCCAAACUGUGGAUGUGGGUUGCCAUCGGGGGGUGGCAUUUCCUCAGGUGCAGCAGGUACAUCAGGGAGGAGGCCAUUCCAGUCGUUGCUGCGACGGAUGGUCACUACUACUGUCCAACUGUCGUGCGCACCACCCAGCUGCCAUACCACAAAGCUCUUGGGGAUGAGGCGCAGACUAAGUACUCUGACUUUUAGAAGGAUGAAUCUGCGGUCCUGACGCGGAUUAUACCAGGAAACUAAGGAACCAUAUCCACCCAAGGCCUUAGUGAUGUAAUAGUCCAUUUGGUAGUCAUACGGAAAGCCGAAGAACAUAAUCCAAAUCUCAGGCCCAAACGGUGCAGCUCUACGAUUAAGAGCCGCAUUGUGCGAAACGAAGGUGAUCAACAGAUCUUCAUCUUCAAGCUCAAGCGGUGUGUUGACAACAUUAUCUCUCAUAAAGGAAUCCACAAAACCGAAAAUCCCAACACCAAGGGGGUGAUCACUGACCUCUGUAGUAAAAAGCUGUGAUUCUUGAAACAGAGUUGUGAUCCGAUGGCGGACGGUGGCCCGGCGAUGCAGGGGCACAUACUCACUGGCUUCUGCAAUGGCCAGGAACUCAUGGCUGAGUGGAGCAAUCGAGCCAACGACCAUGCCGCUGUGCACAAGAUGAUCGGCCGGCCCUGGCUCACCCGCAAAACCCGGCGGGAGGAAAGGCACAGGGUUUAGUGGGUAGUUCGCCAUUGUGGUGGAAGGGAUCAGAGGGGAGGACGGUGGUGCAGUGAUGGGAUGUAACUGCAAUGGCGCAAGCUGCAGCAAAGCGUCAGACUGUGGCGAUGGGACUGGACGGGAUGUGGCCCGUUGGGUUCUCGAGGAGGAAGCUGAAGCGUGAAUGGGGGUAGGAGGCAAAGUUGCCUUUGCAACCUCUGUAGAGAGUUAAAACCUAAUCGAUUAGCCGUGUCCCCGGUUACAGACAACUUGAGCAUCUAGUAGUGGAAAUGAUGGGAGAUCUCAUCACUCUUAAUUAAACAGUUGGGUUUUAAAUGAAACAUUGGGAAUGGAUUGAGUUGUGUUUGCCAACUCAUACUAUGCUAUACUGUAGUGAUAGACUAAUAUCUUUUAUUCUAGGGAAAAACUAGCUUUAUGCAAAAACUAAACUUAGAGCUUUCCACCAGCCAAAUUGCAUGUACAAAUAGGUUCAUUAUUCUUAUGAUGUGACUUGCCAGUACAUUCAAUGUACUGACCUAUAGGGCUGCAACGUCUUAUGUUGCAGGAAUUUCUACGACGAGUAAGAAUUAUGUUGUAGGGUUAUGGUCUACACUCAACUUGCCGUUGGCGUUGAUGGGACUCCACACCCGUUCGAUUGUUUCCACUGAGAUUUAUGAGGUAUAUAUCAGUUUUGCAUUAUUUAUACAUUUGAUUGAACUUUGAUAUAUACAUUGAUGUACUGUGUGUGCCAGCAUAUCGAUCCAGGGAUGGCCCGGAUACACAGAGGCUUGACAGUUUGAGCUCGGGUCGCUACAGAGAUGGUAUCAGAGCACAUGUUGACUAUAGGACGUGACCCUAGAAACUGGAAAGCCCUUAGGAAAAGAUUUCUCUAAAAGUUUAUUUUCAAAAAGAUCCUUUACCUCUCUUCUUUUCUGAGCUUUAUCAAAUCUUUCCUUUUACCCCAAAUAGGUAGGCAAUAUCCCUUUUCCCUUUCACCACGCGGAGGAUCAACUGAUGAGACCACUCCAAGAAGGGCAAGAUAUCGGCCAACUGAUGGCCACUUCAAAGUAAAGAGGAUUUCAUCAUGCAUUAGAACAGUUAAUGCUACGACAGUCGAAGACUCGAAGAAUUUGAAGACACUGAAGAAUUCCAAGAUUUAUAUGACCUUUAGAAGACCAAACCCUUGUUGUGUACUCACGUUAGAUGCGAUGAUUUGUGAGCUGUCAUAUUUGGUGUGUGUUUUCCGAUGCAAUAAAUAAAACUUAUUUUCAAAACUAUAUUGUUUGUAUUUUGUGUAUCUUUCUCUAUCCCUCUUAUCUCAUCCCAAAACCCUUGGACCCAAUAGAUGAUGAAUGAAGAUGGACUUGUAUUCUCUGGACCGAUCACUCGGUUAGAGGAAGAGCUAUGGAUUCAAAACAUGGAGAGUCACUUCGAGAGCAAUUUGGUUGCAAGGAAGUAUGAGGUUCAAUAUGCUCUUUAAUACUUUACAAAAAGUGCUACAACAUGGUGGAAAAUGCAUCAAGCCAUACAAGGAUGUAAUGGAGCAAAAACUUGGGAGGAAUUGAAGAAGACUCUAUUGGGAUCCCGUCUUAUCCGGAAGCACGGUGAUAAACUGAUGAAGAAACCUUGUGCCUGCAAGAUAUGUGGAGAAAUAGGACACACCCAUGAAGAACACAAGGAUGGAUGCCCUCAUUAUGAAGGAAAUCACCCAGCAGAAGAGUGCCCAACUAGGCAGGUUACUUGUUUCUUGUGUGAAGGAACUACGCACUACCCUGCCCAGUGUCAUAUUUACCCCAGGGUACAAGAAAUUACCAAGAAGAAGUGGGGUUUGAUCGACAAGAGAUAGAAGAAUUGAUCGGAAUGAAGAAGUCGAGGAAGAGAAAGAGCAUGUAUCCCCAGAACAACCCAGUUUCUACAGAAAAGGACCUGAGUCAUAUCACUUGUUACAGCUGCAAGGAUUUAGCUCAUUAUUCUAGCAAAUGCCCACCAAGGAAGCCAAGAACCCAAGGAGCCAAGAUAACCACCAGGAACCCCUGGAUUUGUCUGACGCCAUUUGUUUACGCUGCAAAGGAGUAGGACAUUUUGUCAGAGAAUGUUCAGACCCGAGGAAAGCUUGAGCAGAGUAGUUGAGAUCUUGAUAUUGGAAUAAAGCAUGUAAUAAAUGUGGAACGCACUUUUAUUUUCGUGGGGGGUGUUGAUACGUCUCCAACGUAUCUAUAAUUUUUGAUUGCUCCAUGCUAUAUUAUCUACUGUUUUGGACUAUAUUGGGCUUUAUUUUCCACUUUUAUAUUAUUUUUGGGACUAACCUAUUAACCGGAGGCCCAGCCCAGAAUUACUGUUUUUUUGCCUAUUUCAGUGUUUUGGAUAAACGGAAUAUCAAACGGAGUCCAAACGGAAUAAAAUCUUCGGGAACGUGAUUUUCUCACCGAACGUGAUCCAUGAGACUUGGACCUUGCUCUAAGGAACAAAAGAGGCGGUCACGAGGGUGGGGGGUGCCCCCCCUAGGGCGCGCCCCCUGCCUCGUGGGCCCCUCGUUGCUCCUUCGGCGUACUUCUUCCUCCUAUAUAUACACAUGUACCCCCAAACGAUCAGAAGAGGAGCCAAAAACCUAAUUCCACCGCCGCAACUUUCUGUAUCAGAAGAGAUCCCAUCUUGGGGCCUGUUCCGGAGCUCUGCCAGAAGAGGGCCGUCAUCACGGAGGGCUUCUACAUCAUCCUAGCCCCUCUGAUGAAGUGUGAGUUGUUUACCUCAGACCUUCGGGUCCAUAGUUAGUAGCUAGAUGGCUUCUUCUCUCUCUUUGAAUCUCAAUACAAAGUUCUCCCCCUCUCUUGUGGAGAUCUAUUCGAUGUAAUCUUCUUUUUGCGGUGUGUUUGUUGAGACCGAUGAAUUGUGGGUUUAUGAUCAAGUCUAUCUAUGAAUAAUAUUUGAAUCUUCUCUGAAUUCUUUUAUGUAUGAUUGGUUAUCUAUGCAACUCUCUUCGAAUUGUCCGUUUGGUUUGGCCAACUAGAUUGGUAGUUCUUGCCAUGGGAGAACUGCUUAGCUUUGGGUUCGAUCUUGUGGUGUCCUUACCUAGUGACAGAAGGGGCAGCAAGGCACGUAUUGUAUCGUUGCCAUCGAGGAUAAAAAGAUGGGGUUUAUUUCAUAUUGCAUGAAUUUAUCUCUCUACAUCAUGUCAUCUUGCUUAAGGCGUUACUCUGUUUUUAACUUAAUACUCUAGAUGCAUGCUGGAUAGCGGUCGAUGAGUGGAGUAAUAGUAGUAGAUGCAGAAUCGUUUCGAUCUACAUGUCACGGACGUGAUGCCUAUAUACAUGAUCAUGCCUAGAUAUUCUCAUAACUAUGCUCAAUUCUGUCAAUUGCUCAAUAGUAAUUUGUUCACCCACCGUAGAAUACUUAUGCUCUUGAGAGAAGCCACUAGUGAAACCUAUGGCCCCCGGGUCUAUUCUCAUCAUAUCAAUCUCCAUCACUUUAAAUCUUGCUUUGUUUUUACUUUGCUUUUACUUUUUAAUUUGCAUCUUUAUACCAAAAAUACCAAAAAUAUUAUAUCUAUCAGAUCUCAUUCUCGUAAGUGACCGUGAAGGGCUUGACAACCCCUAAUCGCGUUGGUUGCGAGUAGCUAUCGCUUUGUGCAGGUACGAGGGACUUGAGCGUGGGCUCCUACUGGAUUGAUACCUUGGUUCUCAAAAACUGAGGGAAAUACUUACGCUACUGUGCUGCAUCAUCCCUUCGUCUUCGGGGAAAACCAACGCUAGCUCAAGAUGUAGCAGGUGUUGAGUUGAGUUACCGAAUGGAAAUUGUAAUAGCUCAUGAAGCAAUAAAAAUUGAGGUGUUUGGAAUCUCAUAUGAAAUGUUAUGAGUUGUUUGUUGAUUGUGAGUGCCUCUCUCACUAUGUCACCCAGACAUAAACCUUGAACCCAUGGACAAGCUGACCCCAAAACCUUCACUAAAAAAACGACAUUUCACCCAAGGAAAUACAUGCAUUAUCCUAAGUACCCCUUCUAUCUUAUACCUGCAGAUGGCAACCCUUUACGAGUCUUUUCUCAAGGGCCCAGAAACGAUCAUGACCCUAACUAGUGAUCAGGAUUACCCAAAGAUCCUCAAGGACAUGAUGAAGCAUAUUCAUCUUGAAGGAGAUGCAGUCUACAAGGGUUAUCCUUUCAUGGAGAAUGGAGUUGAACUUUGGUACGUGGAGGUACACCUCCACCGUGUGAAGGGAGUUUUCCCAAAGAGUAUGGGGCAAUACUUUUUCAUUUCUCGAGUACCCCGAGCAACAUUCUUCGACUCUGUUCGUGAAACUGCUAUGGAAGCCAUACGUCAGAUUGGAGAAAUACUUGAAGCCAGACUUCGUUAUACUCAGGAAUACCCGAGGGAGGUGCAUGCAGAGAUGAUGGAGAUGAAGCUCAUGGCCACCAUGAUGAAGCAAAAGGUCGAUGAUUUCAAGGACCACAUUGUACAAUUCCAGUGGGACUAAAUUAUCUUCAAGAAGGGCAAAUGAAUAAAGAUGGAAGUAAUGCUUGACCAUAGCAAACUAUGUGGAUGGCAGCUUUUUGUAAUAGAGUACUUUUGAAAUUUGAGUUUUGAGUAGUGGUUAAGGAUGUAAUAAAGGAUUUGAUAUGAAGAGAAUUAUGGAUGAACCAGUGCAUUUUUUGGCGAUACCUGUCUGUGCGAACACUUGACCAAUGGAAAAGGAAAUGUAUGCCAUAGAGUGAAGUUUGGACAAAUGAGUUGGAGUUUGGUUUUAGUUAUGAUGGUUACCCCAAGAGUAUGAAGGAAUGAAGUACUAUUGGAUUUAAAGGAGAUGUAAUGUUGGAAUAUGGAACAAUAGUAACUCCAAGGAUGAGUUAAAGAUAUACAAGUGUUGAAGUGGGCCAUAACCCACAGGACCCAGGAUUUGAUAAGGAAACAAGCACAAUCUUGUUGAAGAAAAUAAUUCUGAAAGAAGCCAUGAUUUCAUCAGCAUACGUUUCAUAGGAGGUUACAUAAACCCAGGAGUUGUGAAUAAACGAUAGAGGUUUUCUUUGGCUUGCAGAACCAAUGGAUUUAUCCGAACCCAGUUCGUGGAGAAGAGAAGUUCUGCAAUGCUUGUGAGGAUGCCCAAGGGCUAGAAUGCGUGAUUCACUAUCUGCGUAUGUGGUAAUGAUUCAAGUACGACAUGGAUUGGCCCCCAUACCGGAGACUUCUAUCAUGAGCUAUCAUAUGAUUGAUAGAAAAUCAGAGAGCCUUAAAACCCUAGAAGAGUGUCGACACGACAAGCCAAAAGCCUUAGAAUGGCAGGAUGAUGGAAACCCUGUACAAGCACCUAUUGCCAACCGUAGGUUAUGCGGUGAGGUUCAACCCAGACCCAUUUCCUGUAGGAGGAACCAGAAAUUGUCGACCACCAUGAGGUUUUCGAUAGUUGUUUAGCAUUGGCGCCAGACCUGUCAAGUCUCAGAAGGAUCCUAUUUUGAUGCAAGGAAUCCUGAUAUUGAUGAAAAGGCCAUGCCCUUACCAGAAGAGCAAAAGUGAAGGGGUUAUCUCAGAGAAUAUGAGAAGACCGACACCGUCAACGCAAAGGAUGGAGUUCAUGAGUUUUAUUGGAACUGUAACCAUGCUUCUAAGGGUGGUAGCACCCCAUUUCUUGUGUUGAUGAAUGGAUUUUCAAGGAGAACCCCCAAACCUAACAUUCUCUCUAGCCUCUUCGAAUCUCGAGGACGAUAUUCAUUUUAAGGGUGGUAGUUUGUAACAUCCCAAAAUUCUAAAAUUUGGAAUGUUAUGUUAAAUAAUUAAUUAUGAUUGUUUGUUUGUUGUGUGAUUGAUUGUGUGAAAAUGAUUGGAAAUUGAAAACUUUUUGAAAGUGGAAAGAGAGGGAAUAAAAGGACUUUCCCGAAACUUUUCAUCUUGCAUUUUGAUCUUCCUGAAUUCAAAUUCAUUUCAUCAUAAAACCCUAGAGUGAAGAUAAUAUAACUUCUUCCAUUUAAAGAAAUGAAAAAAGGGGUUUGAAAAUGAUUUGAAUUCCAUUUGAAAAAUUUUAAAUUUAGAAACUUUAAGCAACUCAAUGAGUACAUGAGGGAAGAUAAAAUGACUUCUUCAGAUCGAUGGAAGAGAGUUGGAAGUUUCAAAGGAAUAAUUUGAAGUCACUUUGAAGUUAUUUAAAACUCAUUUUUCCAUUUGAAGUUGUUUGAAAUUCCAAAUUUCUAAUCCUCUUGGGAGUUAUUUAGUUUUAAUUCAAAUUAUUUUUCCCCUAAAAAUAAAUAGAUGGGAAUAAGGGUAAAUUGAUUCCCUUCAAUAGAAAAUUAGGAGAAAUAUAUCUGAAAUCAUUUUCCUAUUUUAAAAAUGAUUUUUAUUGAUUUUAAAUGCAAUAGUAGCACUGUUUGAAUUUUAUGAAUUUUUAUGGAAUUUCGUUGAACUUGAAAAAUAAUUCAUCUUAUUGCUGCUAUUUUUCUGAGCAUUUUGGUAUAUAAUAUUCCUACAUAAUUUUUUUAGUUAUUUUCCUAUGUUGAAGUUUUUGUUUCUACAAAAAAAAACAUGCGCCCGCCAGCCGGCCCAGGGCCUUCGGCCCAAGAGCCAGCCAGCAUACCGAGCCGGCCCAGCAGCGCCCCAGGCCGCCCGAGGCCUUACGCCUCGCUCGCCCGCGCCCCUCUUCCCUCGCUCGCUCUCUCCCACUGCCGCUGCCAGUGGGGCCCGCAACCCUCCGUCCCUAACCUCCCGCUCCUCCCAUUCAGAUAGGGCACGCGCGUGCUGCCCGCAACUGCCGGCAGCUCCGCUCGGGAUAGAGCUCAUCCGCAGUCUCCGCAGCCUCUUCUUGCACCUAUAAAUUCCCCCGACUCCCCUCGUUCGAUUCUGCAAUUCCGCAACGAUCCACGCCGCUCACAGCCGCCGCCUUCGUCGUUUGGAUCUUGCCCGCCGGAGCUACCUUGCCGGUCCGUUCCAUCGUCCGUAAGACUUCCUCGACCCCGUUCUUCUUUGUCAAUUGACUCCCCGCGUCGAGGCGCAUCUGAUUGACAAAAAUUUGCCGCCUAGGUCGUACCAGAGACGUCGCCCCGACGCGCCGUGCUCUUGCCGAAGCACCGGAGCUCCGCCGCCACCCUCCGCUCGUCGCUGGCCACCCCACCGCCCGCCGACCCCACCAGCACGCCGCCCACGCCGCGCCUGACCUCCCCGACCCCUUCGUCGCCGCUGAGGACCACCAGAGACGCCGCCCUGUCCGCCGUCCGCCGCCUGACGCCAGCGGCACCGCACCUGUUCGCCGUCCUCGCUCGCUAUGAGCCGCUGAUCCUCGCUCAUUUUUUGUUGUUGUUGUUGUAUUAGAUCGGGUAACCGUGGUUUUAUUAAACCGUGCGGUUUAGUAAAAAACCGGUCUCCGGUUGUCUUUUUAUUUAGCCACGGUAGCCGUUUUAUUUAUUCAGUGGCCGUCCGCCGUUUAGCCUGAGCCGCGAACGCUGCUCAGCCACCCGGAAGCCGCCACGUGGCCAGGGACCUAGUCGUGAAUAAAACUUUCAUAGUUAAGUCCCUGAGUUUCCAAUUUAGCCCCUAAACUUCGAAUGGUUGUAUCUUUUUAACCGUAGCUCCAAAUUCGACGAAACCAGUGGCAAGAUGUUCGUCUUGAUUAGUUUUAUCCAGAGAACCAACUUUGAAAACUUUUGGCCAAAUUCAAAUUUGAACUUUAUUCAGAUUUGAAUUCAAACUUCAACUGGCCAUAUCUCUUAAACCGUAGCUCCGAUUGGUGUGAUUCUUUUUGCAACGUGUCAUCAUAGCCAAACCCUACCACCUGGACCUUGUCACAAUACUUUUCACACAACUAGAAUCUGUCUAUGAUAGUUUUACUAUUAUGCCAUGCAUGCACUUUAGUACACAUCAUAGUUUUGAACCCCAUGUCACAAGUUGUUUUGCACUUAGGAUAUUUCCAUGCUAGUUAACUGUGUUGAAUGUUCAUUUGGUUUUUCUGAGACUUUGUGCUUUGCAUGUUCUUCUUGGUUCUCUGAAAUGAUUGCUGAGAGUGACGAAUAGUUCUAUGAAGUAAAUUUCUGAGAGUGGUAUAAUCUUCAUCAACUAUUACCAGGCAAGUUCACAUUUGACCAUUUUUCCAAUUACCUAUGUUUAUAUUAUGCACUUAGUCCUUUUGUGGUAGGAUUGCAUGGUAGGAUUUAUUGUUACCAGAUGGCUAUGCCGUUACCUAGUAGUUCAUUUGAGGUAGGUAUGAUCUAUACAUCCUUGUCACCACCGUGUAAGUUUAUUUUUGCCUCGCUAAAUGUAGACGUGGUUUGGGAAGCGAACAUGGCGAGACAUGAGUGACAAAGUAGUAAUCAAGAUCAAGACUUGUAAAUGAACUACCUGGGCGGUAUUUGGUUUGAAUGGUGGCGAAGUACAGUGGGAGCAUGCAUGGUUAAUCCAUGGUGGUGCACCACUAGUGGUUGGCCGCUCAGGCUCAAAGAGAUGAAUCGUAUUCUCAUGUCUAGAAGCUUAUGUGUGCAGCCACAAGCCAAUAUGGGCUCUGGCUUAGUUGAGUAGUUAGUGUGACCCCUUCCGGGAUGGGCUAGCAGAUGUAGAAUGAUGUAGGUGUACCGGCCUAUCCCUGGGUUAAGGGGGAACAUUUUAGAAAGACUAUGUCUCGGUCAUCCUGUUCUCAAACGCCAGGCAGUGCGAGAACUCCAGGGGAGGCGAUCGAGUCUUGUGGGGAAAAGUGCGCAAACCUCUGCAGAGUGUUAAAAUCUAAUCGAUUAGCCGUGUCACCGGUUACGGACAACUUGAGAAUCUAGUAGUGGAAAUGCUGGGAGAUCUCAUCACUCUUAAUUAAACAGUUGGGUUUUAAAUGAAACUUUGGGAAUGGAUUGAGUUGGGUUUGCCAACUCAUCCUAUGCUAUACUAUAGUGAUAGACUAAUAUCUUUUAUUCUAGGGAAAAACUAGCUUUAUGCAAAAACUAAACUUAGGGCUUUCCACCAGCCAAAUUGCAUGUACAAAUAGGUUCAUUAUUCUUAUGAUGUGAAUUACCAGUACAUUCAAUGUACUGACCUACAGGGCUGCAACGUCUUAUGUUGCAGGAAUUUCUAAGACGAGUAAGAAUUACGUGGUAGGGUUACGGUCUACACUCAACUUGCCAUUGGCGUUGAUGGGACUCUGCGCCCAUUCGAUUGUUUCCCUGAGAUUUAUGAGGUAUAUAUCAGUUUUACGUUAUUUAUACAUGUGAUUGAACUUUGAUAUAUACAUUGAUGUACUGUGUGUGCCAGCAUACCGAUCCAGGGAUGGCACGGAUACACAGAGGCUUGACCGUUUGAGGUCGGGUUGCUACAGCAAAUCAGCUAGAUCUUUCAAGGCAAACUCUGAGAUCAAAUCAUGCAGAAUGGCAUUAGUAGCACUUUGUGAUGAACUUGCAACUAUGAUGCAUCCACAUAUAUGAGAACAAAGAUAACUACUUUUCCCUUGUUAUAAAUGAACAAAGAUGUAUCAGCUUGGAAGCACUAAAACCAAGACAUUUCAAUUGAGAGCUCAACCUGGAGUACCAUGCUUUAGGUGCUUGUUUCAAGCUAUAGAGUGCUUUGUCAAGCUUGCACACAUAAUGUGGUGUUUUCUUACUCUCAUAUCCUGGUGGUUGUCUCAUGAAUACCUCCUCUUCCAGAACACCAUGUAAAAACGCAUUCUGUACAUCUAGCUAUCUCAAGCUCGAUCCCUUGGAUACAGCACUAGCUAACACAAAUCUUAUAGUUGCAGCUUUUACAACCGGACUGAAGGUAUCCUCAUAGUCUAUGCCAUAGCGUUGUUUAAAGCCCUUUGCAACUAGACGUGCCUUAUAUCUGUCAAUGGAGCCAUCUGCUUUCUUUUUAAUUCUAUACACCCACUUGCAAUCAAUAAUAUUUUUACCUCUCUUAUCAGGCACAAGAUGCCAAGUUUUGUUCCUCAUAAGUGCAGAAUAUUCCUCAUCCAUUGCUUUCUUCCAUUUAGGGUCACCAAGUGCAUCAUUCAGUGUCAUUGCUUCCCCUGAAAUACAUAGCAUGCCAUACCGUAUAGUACCAUCAGUUUGUAUUUUGGGAUUAUGGAUACCUUUUUGUAACCUGGUCAUAACUCGCAAGGGAGCUUCUUGUUGCAUGUGUACAGGAACAAGAUCCAUUGGCGCAGAAGAUCCACCUCUUGCUACUGAAUCUGCUGGUGAUGCAGAAGAUCCAUCGGACACUGGCGCAGAAGAUCCACUGGACCUUGGUGUGGCCCCCCUGCCACUGGACGCCCAGGAAACCACAUGGCUUCCAGGCAUAGACGAUCCGCUGCCAGGUUGCAUGUGCGCGGGACGCGAGGAGGAGCCGACCGCGCGACUGGUCCCACUGGGCCCACUAUCGGGUGACGCGUCGGCGUGGGAGUGGCCCUCCCAGGAAUCUGGGCCGCUGCCACCUUGUACGCGAUCCAAGAAAGAUCUGUGCGCACGAUCCGAGGCCUGCAAGAGCGCAGGAGUACCAAGGAAUUCAACUGAUAUGAUUACUCUACUUAUUGAUGUGCAAUAAUGUAAUAUGACUAUUAAGAAGCAUUCUAACUGUGGAGGUGGUUUCACACUUCUUACUACAACAAAGGUGAUUGAAGGAUUCCUCGGCAGAAACUAGAACGCACACCUUCAAUAAUUGACGAGCUAAUUGGUUGUUGAACUUCAUGUUGAAGAUAUCUCAUGUAGGCCCAGGCCGGCGCAUAUAGUUAGUUGAGGAGUUGGUUAGCUUAGAGAUAGACUAUCAUCUAAUUAAACUUUUGUAUCUCUAUCUCCUAAUCUCUUGUACUCCAAGUUAUGUAUGCGUACAUGGGAUAAGCCUCAUCUCAAUCAAUAAAUACCCGCGGCCCUCUCUCGUGGAGGGUAGAACGCUUCCGAUAUAUUUCCUAUAUGGUCAUCAGAGCUUUCUCUUCUCGUCCAAAAACCAGAAAACCUAGAUUGCCAUCCUUCCCACCAUGUCAUCCUCCUCCAACCCCCCGACUCUCUCUGGUCUUGGUUACCAAAUCAGUGAGAAGCUCACCGCUGAGAACUACCUGCUGUGGAAGGCACAUAUCCUCCAGCACUUCCUUGGUGCCGGGCUCUAUGGCUAUCUAGACGACAACAUCGUCGAACCAGAGAAGCUCAUGGUCGCGAAGGACAAGGAUGGAAAGGAUCAAGCGGUCCCCAAUCCGGCGCAUGAUUCUUGGGUGCGGCAGGACCAACAGGUCCUUGGCCACAUCAUCAACAAUCUCUCGAUGGAGGUGCUGGUCUCGGUCGUCUCCAUUGGCGUGAGCUCUCUGGACAUCGAUGCGUAACAUGUUUGCUUCACAAUCUCAUUACCGCAUUAAUAAUAUCCAGAUUUCCCUGUCCAGUGCCUAAAAGGGCAAUCAGCGUCGGCAUACUUUGCUCGGAUGCGCAGAUAUGCUGAUGAACUUGCUGCUACCGGGAGACCUCUGCAAGAGGAUGAGCUCACCUCCUUCCUCCUGGCUGGGCUGGACCUCGACUACAACCCCCUUAUCUCAGCCCUCGACGACCGGACGGAUCCUAUCACCAUCGAUGACUUAUACUCACAGGUCUACAACUUUGAUCAGCGGGUGUCGCUGCUCAUGGGAGGCGUGGGCUUCAAGUCCUCUGCAAACUCUGCCCAGCAUGGUGGGCCACCUCCAUCUCGAGGCUUUGGAAAGCCGAGGGAUCAGAAGAAGCAAGGUGGUGGCGGCGGCUACAAGAAGAAACAAGGUGGCGGUGGGCAUCCCUACUACAUCAACACCAAGGGAGCUCGCUCUGGUGCCCCUGGAGGGCCAGGAGGUCUAGGAGGCCUCGAUGGUCCUCCACCCGCCAACAACCACAAGGGGAACGACCCCAUCCAGUGCCAGAUAUGCAUCAAGUUCGGGCACAGCACCAAGGACUGCUGGUAUCAUUUUGAUGAUGAUGCCCUUGAAUAAAAAGUUGUUGCUGCCACCCAGUAUGGGGUGGAUACAAAGUGGUAUGUUGACAGCGAUGCAACCGGUCAUCUCAUCGGCGAACUAGAGAAGUUGACAGUCCGCGACAAGUAUCGUGGGCAGGGUGAAAUCCAUGGCGCAAACAGAUCAGGUAUGAGGAUAGAUCAUGUUGGUCAUUCAGUUUUUCAAACCCCUAACCGUCCCAUCCAUCUUAAAAGAAUUUUACAUUAUCCUCAUGCCCAAACCAGUCUUCUUUCUGUAAAUCAUAUUGCCUUGGAAAAUCAAGUAUUUCUUGAAUUUCACCCCUUCUACUUUUCGAUCAAGGACCAGGCAACGAGGAGAAUCCUCUACAUAUGUAGAUGCAUUGGUGGGCUCUAUCCAUUGAUUCCUCGCUUUAGGAGUUCAAAUAAACAAGUUCUUGGUCUCACCAAAUUAUCUUCGGCAAGGUGGCACGAUCGAUUUGGGCAUCCUUCUUUUGCUAUAGUUCAACGAGUGCUUAGGAAAAAUAAGCUCCCUUUUGUUGGUGAGCCUAGUAGUGAAAAAAAUUGUGAUUCAUGUCAACGAGAAAAAAGUCAUCAACACCCUUCCCCUGUGUCAACUAGCGUUUCUUCCAAACCAUUAGAACUAUUUUUUUUCUGAUGUAUGGGGCAAGCAGCUCUUUCUGUUGGGAGACACAAGUAUUAUGUAAACUUUAUUGAUGAUUAUAGUAAGCAUACUUGGAUCUACCUUAUCAAGCAUAAAUCUGAUGUGUUUCAAGUAUUCCAAAAUUUCCAAGCACUUGUUGAACGAAAAUUCUCUAGCAAAAUAAUCUCUGUCCAAUCGGACUGGGGUGGCGAGUAUGAAAAAUUAAACUCGUUCUUUCAAAAACUGGGAAUUUCCCAUCAUGUCUCUUGUCCCCAUGCGCACCAACAGAAUGGUUCUGCAGAACGCAAGCAUAGACAUAUUGUCAAAGUUGGUCUUUCUCCUUGCUAAUGCAUCCAUGCCAUCGAAGUUUUGGGAUGAAGCAUUCAUCACUGCUACACAUCUCAUUAAUAUGUUGCUAAGCAGGGUUAUCAAUUUUGAAACACCCACCGUGUUGGGGAACGCAGUAUUUAAAAAAAAAUUCCUACGAUCACGCAAGAUUUAUCUAGGAGAUGCAUAGCAAGGAGAGGGGAGAGUGUGUCCACGUAUCCUCGUAGACCGAAAGCGGAGGCAUUUAGUAAUGCGGUUGAUGUAGUCGAACGUCUUUGCGAUCCAACCGAUCAAGUACCAAACGCACAGCACCUCCGCGAUCUGCACACGUUCAGCUCGGUGACGUCCCUCGUACUCUUGAUCCAGUUGAGGCCGAGGGUGAGUUGCGUCAGCAUGAUGGUGUGUUGAUGGUUAUGAUGAAGUUACCAAUGCAAGGAUUCGCCUAAGCACUACGACAAUAUGACCGAGGUGGAAAACUGUGGAGGGGGGCACCGCAACGGUUAAAGAUCAACUCUUGUGUCUAUGAGGUGUCCCCCUCCCCCAUAUAUAAAGGAGGGGAGGAGGAGGAGGGCCGGCCUCAAGGGGCGCUCCCAAGGGGGGGAUUCCUACUCCUAGUAGGAGUAGGUUUCCCCUUUCCUAGUCCAAGUAGGAGAAGAAGGAAGGAGAGGAAGAAGAGAAGGAAAGGGGGCCCGCCCCCCUUAGCCCUAGUCCAAUUCGGUUUGGGCUACGGGAGGCGCGCGCCACCUCUUGGCCUACCUCCUCUCUUCCACCACUAGGCCCAUAAGGCCCAAUAACUUCCCGACGGGGGUUUCGGUAACCCCCAGUACUCCGAAACUUAUCCGAAAUGACCCGAACCAUCCCAGUGUCCAAAUGUAACCUUCCAAUAUAUGAAUCUUUAUGUCUCGACAAUUUCGAGACUCCUCGUCAUGUCCAUCAUCUCAUCCGGGAUUCCUAAAAACCUUCGGUACAUCAAAUCACAUAACUCAUAAUACAUAUCAUCAUCGAACGUUAAGCAUACGGACCCUGCGGGUUCGAGAACUAUGUAGACAUGACCGAGACUCAUCUCCGAUCAAUAACCAAUAGCGGAACCUAGUUGCUCAUAUUGGUUCCUACAUAUUCUACGAAGAUCUUUAUCAGUCAAACCGCAUAACAACGUACAUUGUUGCCUUUGUCAUCGGUAUGUUACUUGCCCGAGAUUCGAUCGUCGGUAUCAUCAUACCUAGUUCAAUCUUGUUACCGGCAAGUCUCUUUACUCGUUCCGUAAUGCUCAUCCCGUGACUAACUCAUUAGUCACAUUGCUUGCAACGCUCAUAGUGAUGUGCAUUACCGAGAGGGCCCAGAUAUACAUCUCCGAUACACAGAGUGACAAAUGCUAAUCUCUAUCUAUGCCAACUCAACAAACACCAUCGGAGACACCUGUAGAGCAUCUUUAUAAUCACCCAGUUACGUUGUGACGUUUGAUAGGACACAAGGUGUUCCUCCGGUAUUCGGGACUUGCAUAAUCUCAUAGUCUGAGGACCAUGUAUAAGUCAUGAAAAAAUAAUAGCAAUAAACUAAAUGAUCAUACUGCUAAGCUAACGGAUAGGUCUUGUCCAUCACAUCUAAAUGGUUUUUUCUUUUCUUGAUUAAUACUCCCUCCGUCCCAUAAUAUAAGACAUUUUUUGACAUUACACUAGAGUCAAAAAACGUCUUACAUUAUAGGACAGAGGGAGUAGUAUUUGUUUUUGGAUGCUUGCAGGUGUUGGAAGAGAACUACUAGGUUGUUGUCCAAGUCACUUCUCACAAAUGUGUGACGCCUGCCCCCACGUGUGAGCCAGCGCAGCCGAAGGCGGCGCACUAACAACGAAACCUAACAAAUUAACUGGCCACACGUGCCAGCCGGUUCCCACGGGUGCGAUGCAUGCCCCCACUUGCAAGCCAGAGGGCGGCCCUACGGACGAGCCGGCAUAGGUGUACAUGAUGCACGCACUAUCUGUUGCGACCGGACCAGCUCGGCGCAUUGCCAGCGGAUGCCAACGGCAAAAUUUCGUGUUUUGACCCUUUUCUGAAACCUAUUAAAGAUCUGACCCUAGGCAGCAGAAGACAUCCUUCAAAUUGAUCACAAUCUUCUUACCCCAACUGAGACCGAGGCUUUCAAGAUGAUUGAGUUAUCCCGUAUACAAAACAAGUAUGUCACACGUGAAAAUAUUUUGUUGAAGGAGCAUAUCAUCGCACUCAAGGGCAUUAUCCGCAAGUUGGAGGACCUCCUACGCUCGAUGUGCGACUAUCCAUCAUCAACAACUCCACCUUCUUCAUAAACAAAGAAGAACUGAGUAUCUGGUAUGGGCACUCCACUUGGCAACUGCCAAGCUUGGGGGAGUGCCCCGGUAUCGUAUCACCAUCACUUCUAUCUUUACCGUUUUCCUUAGUUCGAUCCUUUUGAUAAUAUUUUGAUCUAGUAGAAUAAAACUUCUUAGUAUGAUCUAGUUGUGAGUUUUGCUUUAUGAUCCUUCUAUGUAAUCGAGUCCGUGAGCUAUAUAUAAUAAAGAUUAGUGUUGAGUCAAGGACUUGAUUAUUUUGCCAUAAUCUUGAGUGAAUAAAAGAAAAGAGAAGAAAUAAAAAGAAACAAAGAGAUCAUAUGGAUCUUAUGGAGAGUAAUGAGCUCACAUAGAAAGAGUAUGAUGAAUAAAAGUUGUUGAGAGUUGACAAACAUAGUUUUGGUCAUCGUUGCAAUUAAUAGGAAGUAAUAAAGAAAGAGAGGUCUUCACAUAUAAAUACACUAUCUUGGACAUCUUUUAUGAUUGUGAGCACUCAUUAAAAUAUGACAUGCUAAAGAGUUGACGUUGGACAAGGAAGACAAUGUAAUGGGUUAUGUUUUCUUACAUCUGAGAUAAAUUAUAUUGUCAUGGAUCAUCCAACAUGAUUGAGCUUGCUUUUCCCCCUCAUGCUAGCCAAAUUCUUUGCACCAAGUAGAGAUACUACUUGUGCUUCCAAACACCCCUAAACCAAUUUUUCCAUGAGUGUCCACCAUACCUACCUAUGGAUUGAGUAAGAUCCCUCAAGUAAGUUGUCAUCAGUGCAAGUAAUAAAAAUUGCCCUCUAAAUAUGUAUGACUUAUUAGUGUGGGAGAAAAUAAGCUUUAUAUGAUCGUAUGAUAUGGAAUAAAUAAAAGCGGCGGACUGCAUAAUAAAGGUCCAUAUCACAAGUGGCAAUAUAAAGUGACGUUCUUUCGCAUUAAGAUUUUGUGCAUCCAACCAUAAAAAUGCAUGACAACCUCUACAUCCCUCUGUGAAGGGCCUAUCUUUUUCUUUUAUCUCCUACCUUGCAUAAGAGUCAUGGUGAUCUUCACCCUUCCUUUGUACAUUUUAUCUUUUGGCAAGCACAACAUGUUGGAAAGAUCCUGGUAUAUCUGGCUAAUUGGAUGUGAAUUUUCAUGAACUAUUAUUGUUGACAUUACCCUUGAGGUAAAACGUUGGGAGGCAAAACUAUAAGCCCCUAUCUUUCUCUGUGUCCGAUUAAAACUCCAUACCCAUAAGUAUUGCGUGAGUGUUAGCAAUUGUGGAAGACUAUAUGAUAGUUGAGUAUGUGUACUUGCUGAAAAGCUCUUAUAUUGACUCUUUCCUAUGUUAUGAUAAAUUGCAAUUGCUCCAAUGACUGAGAUUAUAGUUUGUUAGUUUUCAAUGAAGUUUGUGAUUCAUACUUGAAAUUGUGAUUGAAUUGUUACUCUAGCAUAAGAGAUCAUAUGACAAGAAUUAUAUAAGUUGUUGUUUUAAGAAUGAUCAUAAUGCCCUCAUGUACGUAUUUUAUUUUUAUCGACACCUCUAUCUCUAAACAUGUGGACAUAUUUUUCGAUUUCGGCUUUCGCUUGAGGACAAGCGAGGUCUAAGCUUGGGGGAGUUGAUAUGUCCAUUUUGCAUCAUGCUUUUAUAUCCAUAUUUAUUGCAUUAUGGGCUGUUAUUACACAUUAUGUCACAAUACUUAUGCCUAUUCUCUCUUAUUUUACAUGGUUUACAUAAAGAGGGAGAAUGUCGGCAGCUGGGAUUCUGGGCUGGAAAAGGAGCAAAUAUUAGAGACCUAUAGUACACAGCUCCAAAAGUCCUGAAACUUCACGGAAGUCAUUUUUAGAAUAUAUAAAAAAUAUUGAGCGCAAGAAGUUCCAGAGGGGGCCCACACCCUGGCCACGAGGGUGGGGGCCAGCCCUACCCCCCUGGGUGCGCCCCCUGCCUCGUGGGCCACCUGGUGGCCCUCCGAUGCCCAUCUUCUGCUAUAUGGAGUCCUUCGAUGAGAAAAAAAUGAUAAGCAAGCUUUCGGGAUGAGACUCCGCCACCACUAGGCGGAACCUUGGCGGAACCAAUCUAGGGCUCUGGCGUAGCUAUUCUGCCGGGGAAACUUCCCUCUGGGAGGGGGAAAUCAUCGCCAUCGUCAUCACCAAUGAUCUUCUCAUUGGGAGGGGGUCAAUCUCUAAGUCUGGGAUUGGUACCCGUGGGUUGCUAGUAGUGUUGAUUACUCCUUGUAGUUUAUGCUAGUUGGUUUAUUUGGUGGAAGAUCAUAUGUUCAGAUCCUAUAUGCAUAUUAAUAUCCCUCUGGUUAUGAACAUGAAUAUGCUUUGUGAGUAGUUACGUUUGUUCCUGAGGACAUAGGAGAAGUCCUGCUAUUAGUAGUCAUGUGAAUUUGGUAUUCGUUCGAUAUUUUGAUGAGAUGUAUGUUAUCUCUCCUCUAGUGGUGUUAUCACUACAAAAAAAGACACAUCCGUGACAUUUUGGGCCGAACGAUAUUUUUUCUGUCAUACAUAUGACACUUCUAUGACGAUAAUUGUGACAAAACCCGGUAUCAUCAUAGAUGUGAUGGGAUCCUACGUCUAUGACAAAAAAUCAUGACAGAAAAUGGGCUUUUCGUCCGGGGCGGGCCAGAGACGCAGCUGCAUGACAUUCUUUGGGCCAUCCAUGAUGGAAAAAACCGUGGUAGAAGCGAGGGGGAGGAAAAUUUCGGGGAGUUCCCGGUUACGGUGGGAGGUCGGGGGCCGAGCGAUGCGCGUUUCUCUCGUACACGUACGCACGUGUGUGCGAGGCGUUGGCUCUAACUGAACCCGAGCGAUUGCACUGCAGGCUACGCAUUAUUGAACCCGAGCGAUCGAUCGAUGGAUGUUAACUGAACCCGAUCGAGCGAUUCCUUCGCUACUGCUGCUAAUUNNNNNNNNNNNNNNNNNNNNNNNNNNNNNNNNNNNNNNNNNNNNNNNNNNNNNNNNNNNNNNNNNNNNNNNNNNNNNNNNNNNNNNNNNNNNNNNNNNNNNNNNNNNNNNNNNNNNNNNNNNNNNNNNNNNNNNNNNNNNNNNNNNNNNNNNNNNNNNNNNNNNNNNNNNNNNNNNNNNNNNNNNNNNNNNNNNNNNNNNNNNNNNNNNNNNNNNNNNNNNNNNNNNNNNNNNNNNNNNNNNNNNNNNNNNNNNNNNNNNNNNNNNNNNNNNNNNNNNNNNNNNNNNNNNNNNNNNNNNNNNNNNNNNNNNNNNNNNNNNNNNNNNNNNNNNNNNNNNNNNNNNNNNNNNNNNNNNNNNNNNNNNNNNNNNNNNNNNNNNNNNNNNNNNNNNNNNNNNNNNNNNNNNNNNNNNNNNNNNNNNNNNNNNNNNNNNNNNNNNNNNNNNNNNNNNNNNNNNNNNNNNNNNNNNNNNNNNNNNNNNNNNNNNNNNNNNNNNNNNNNNNNNNNNNNNNNNNNNNNNNNNNNNNNNNNNNNNNNNNNNNNNNNNNNNNNNNNNNNNNNNNNNNNNNNNNNNNNNNNNNNNNNNNNNNNNNNNNNNNNNNNNNNNNNNNNNGUGGAGGGGUGCCCGUGGAGGGGUGGUUGAACUGGACCCCGUGGUGUGGAGGGCUGGAUGAACAGUAGACGGUGGAGGGGUGGUUGAACAGUAGCCGGUGGAGUAACGCGCGGUGGAGGCUGGAUGAACAGGAGCCCGUGGAGGCUGGAGGAGGUCGACGGUGGAGAUGAACAGUAUCCCGUGGAGUCCCGUUUUGCGGUACGCCACACCCCUCCCAGUAAACAGGACCCCCGUUUCGACCGUAGCGCUCCAACACAAGUCAGUUUCCUCCAUUUUGCGGUACGCCACACCCCUCCCGAUCAACAGGACCCCCGUUUCAACCGUAGGAGGUCCGUUUCCUCCGUUUUGCGGUACGCCACACCCCUCCCGAUGAACAUGAUCCCGUUUCGAACAUGGCCAGUCGAACACAAGGCCGUUUCCUCCAUUCUGCGGUACGCCAGGCCUCGUUUCCAUCGCCUAUUCCGUCCAAGCCCUCCCGAUGAACACAACGCAUUCCGUUGCCUCCCCAUGAACACGACGCAUUUUGUUGCCUCCCCAUGAACACGACACAUUUCGUUGCCUCCCCAUGAACACGACGACGACGCUGUUUCUCAGUUCCGACCCAGCCUUGUACAUGAGCCCUCGUCGUACGUAUGCGCGAGUAGGCAUUCGAGACCCCGCCCGUAUGUACACAUACGUGGCCGUAUUUUCUUUCUUGCACCCUGACCGCUGUACAUACGUGUACAUGCUACGUGCGCGCCUCUACUACGACACAUGCGCGCCUCGACAUCGACCAGUAUAUAUGUACGUACACGUUCGCGACCAGAAUGACAACGCUACGUACGCUUCGACCAGGUAGGUCCCGACUGCCAGGCACUUCCUUGCAUGCGAAGAUGUAGCUGGUGGGUCCCAGCAGUCAAGGCACUACUAGGGACAAGCCUAUACACAGAAUCUUACCAGCAGCGCGCUUUAAAAUCAGGCGCUGCUGCUAAGUAGCAGUAGCGCAGGUUUUUAACCCUCGCUACUACUAAGUUGAUAGCAGUAGCGCUGGUUUUUUAGCCUCGCUACUACUAAGCGGUCACUACCGUGCCCCUCGGGACAUGCCAUAGUAGUAGCGCGGGUUUUUAACCCUCGCUACUCCUAAGUUGAUAGCAAUAGCGUUGGUUUUUACCCCUCGCUACUACUAAGCUGUCUCUACCGUGCCCCUGGGCCAUGCCAUAGUAGUAGCGAGGGUUAUAAAACCGUGCUACUACUAAGUUUUUACCCCUCACUACUACUAAGAGGUCUCAACCGUGCCCCUCCGGGACAUGCCAUAGUAGUAGCGAGGGGUAAAAUCCCUCGCUACUACUAAAGGUGCCAUUUUGAAACUCUACCCCCCUGGAUCGCCUUUUGGGUUUUGUAAAAAGCAAAAGAAAAUGAUAAAAACUUCAAAAAUUAAAAUCCUUCUAGAUUUAGUUAUGUUACUACAUCUACUAGUUAGGAAAAUUUAAAAACUUAAAUUUGGACAUGUUUUGCAAAAAGUGUCGGGAAAAUGUAAAACGGCUAUAACUUUUGCAUACGAUGUUAGAAAAAAACGUAUAAUAUAUCAAAAUGUUUCAAAAAUUAAAAUCCUUUGAGAUGUAGUUAUGUUACUACAUCUACUAGUUAGGAAAAUUUAAAAACUUAAAUUUGGACAUGUUUUGCAAAAAGUGUAGGGGAAAUGUAAAACGGCUAUAACUUUUGCAUACAAUGUCAGAAAAAAACGUAUAAUAUAUCAAAAUGUUUAGCACGAAAAUCUGCAUACGAUGUAGACAGCUACGGCCUAUUUGCAAAUUUUUAGAAUCCUCAAAUUCUAAAAGGAAAAAAAAUUAUGCUCAAAUUUCAGUUUUUUUAAUUUUGGUCAAAUCUGGUCAAACUGUGGUCAAACUAAUUCAAGAAGUAUUAGUGUUACUAAAUAAUUAUUUCAGUUUUUGGAAUUUUGGUCAAAUCUGGUCAAACUGUGGUCAAACUUUGGUCAAAAUGUGGUCAAACUCCUUAUUCAAGAAAUAUUAGUGUUACUAAAUAAUUAUUGUUUUUUAGAACAAUUGUUUUAAACUCAAACAGCAAAAUGUGUGACUUCAUGCUCAAGCUAAACUCCCGAGGGUUAAUAGGAUUGACAUCUUACUAUUGUCAGGAAAGCAACAAGUGCAGACCUGGAAUCGAGGGAGAAUAGAACCCGGAAGUUAAGCGUGCUCAGGCUGGAGUGGUGAGAGGAUGGGUGACCGUCCGGGAAGUUAGAUGAUUUGGAAUGAUGAGGGGUGAUUAGAGAUAAAAUUGAGCAGCGAUGAGGGUGAUUAGAUAUUAGAGGUUAAAAUAAUUCAGAAAUUUGAAAAUUCGCGCAAAAAAUUCGAAAAAAAAUUCUGCGGGUUAGUAGUAGCAUGGGUUUUUAACCACACUACUACUAACGGACGUAGUAGUAGCGCGGGUGGCACCCGCGCUGCUGCUAUACGUUAGCUGUAGCGCCUUAUUAGUAGCGCCGGCCCACGCGCUGCUAAUAGGCCCAAAACCCGCGCUGCUGCUAGGCUCUUCCCUAGUAGUGAGGAGGGGAAUUGUUUUAUUUUGUUUUGCCCGGACGCACUUCCUUCCGUCCGAAGGUGUAGCUAGUGGGUCCCAGCAGUCAGGGGGGAAACGUUUUUUUCGUGAAAUACGGUGGCCCGUCUGGUGGUCCCCGCUGUUAGGUGGAGGAAUAAUUAUUUUGCACAUAAUAAGGAGGCACUUCCUUGCUGCGGCCGUGGACCCAGGUGUCAGCCACUCCACGUACAGUCCACGUCCGAUGGAAGUCGUUCCUUGACCACGUUGACCACGCUGCACCGAGAGCACCAGGGCAGUGGACGACGGCGAGGCCUAGGAAGGGGACGACGAGGAGCUAGGGAAGACGCGGCAGUGGAAGCCUGUGCGGAGAGGAGUACGAGGGUUCACUGGUUCGGCUACGGUGUGAGGCUGCCGUCACCGCAGGGCCUGGCCAGCGGUGGGAAUAGUAGGGGGCGGUGAGGCGUCCGCAGCAGCACAGCCGACCAUGGGAGGCAGGAGCAUGCGGCACGACCGGCGCAACUUUGGGCGGCUGGAGCAAGAAGACCAGAGGUUGAAGAAGCACUACGGCUGUUGGAUGGACAUCGUACAGUCACUGGAGCUAGAAUCGUUCAUAUUGAUUAAAGUUGACAAAGGCCCCCGUCCCAGUCAACUUAGUAGGCCCACAAGUCAGCCUCCCACCAUGGUGGGUCCCAGCUAGCAGGGGGGUAUUCAUUUUUUUGUGCGUAAUAAGGAGGCACUUCCGGUGGGUCCGAGCUGAUAGCGGGGGGGACGUUUUUUUCGCGAAAUACGCUGGCCCGUACGGUGGGUCUGAGCAGUCAGGGGGGAAACGUUUUUUCGCAAAAUAAGGUGGCCCGUCCGGUCAGUCCCUGUUGUAAGGUGGAGGAAUAAUUAUUUUGCGCGUAAUAAGAAGGCACUUCCUUGCGGCUGCAUGGACCCAGCUGUCAGCCUCUCCACGUACAGUACUCUUCCGAUGGAAGUCGGUCGUUAACCACGUUGACCACGCCGCGCCGAGAGCACUAGGGCGGUGGUCUGGACGAUGGCGAGGCCUAGGAAGGGGACGACGCGGAGCCGGGGAAGACGCAGCAGCGGAAGCCCGCGCGGAGAGGAGUACGAGGGUUCACUGGUUCGGCUGCGGUGUGAGGCUGCCGUCGCCGCAGAAUAACAGGGGGUGUGCGUGAGUGGAGGGAUGGCCUGGCCAGCGGUGGGGGUUGUAUGGGGGCGGUGAGGCCUCCGCGGCAGCACAGCCGGCCACGGGAGGCAGGAGCAGGUGGCACGACCGGCACUGCUUUAGGCGGCUGGACCAAGAAGACCAGAGGUUGAAGAAGCACUAAGGCCGUUGGAUGGACAUCGUACGGUCAUUGAAGCUAGAAACGUUUAUUAUUGACUAAGUUGACAAAGCCCUUGGUACGCUCCAACUUAGUAGGCCCACAGGUCAGCCUCCGAAACAGUGUGCCCCAGAUGUCAAGGAGAGGAAUCAUUUUUUGGGCGGCCGAAGCUAAGAAUAUCCGAGAUUGAAGAAGAAGCACGACAUCCGUUGGAUAGACAUCCAACGUCCACUGCUGCUAGAACCGUGUGUUGACUAUAAUAAGUUGGCAAAGCCUUGCAUACGCGUCAACUUAUUUUUUUAGGGGACACGUCACUUAGUAGGCCCACAAGUGUGUGGCAGAGAACUUAUAGCCCAUUUGCGUUUUUGUAAGAAUGUACAGCCCAUUUUGGAAUUCUAAUGGAAUUUACAACAGCCCAUUUACAGUUUGUUAAAAGUACAGCCCAUUUUCUAGCUAGGAAAAUGAUUAAUAAUUUCAACCAACCGUUGAAGACCGAAUUCAACAAAAUUUCCCACAUUUUGAUGGGCUCCAAAAUAUUUUUAUCCUGAAAUUUUUAGUCAGAUUAAAUAUAAAUUUGUAUUAGGUAAAAAUCCAAUGAAACAUUGCGCGCGCAACAAUGAAAAUUUAAGAUUUUCAAAAUCCAUAAAUAAUAUUUUAUAAACUAAUUUCGUGUUUGGUGCAUUUUUUAUAGUUACUGCCUAGUUUUUAUAAUUACAUCCCAUUUAUUAUUUUUUAAAGCCCAUUUUCCUGUUAAGCCUAAUGUAUCCCUCCUAGGAAAGAUUUGCAGCCCAGCGGGGUGGAGAAUAACAAGUUCACUUUGCCUCGGUAUUCCUCAAAAAGACGUAUAGCUGGGCUAGCCAUUUUCAUCUUGAAAAAAUUAGUAUCUGGGCUGGAUGUCUGGCCUGGGCUAGACGGGCCACAACCCGCCUAGUUAAUACCCUGCUCUCCUCUGAAAAACAACGAAAUCAUCGCCAAGAAAAACUCUGCAGUGCUCACGCUUCAAAAAGACAAAUACUGCUUGAGCUGCUUGGUCCCAGCUGUCGGCCGCACCUUGUGCAAUUCUCUCGUUUAUAUUGACUACAUAGGUUGACAAUGGUGUGGGACCGUGAUGUCAGGAAACCAGGAGAAAGCAAAAAACAUAUAGUUGUACAUAAUAAGGAGGCACUUGCGUACGUACGGCUAUGGCCCUAGUGGGUCCCUAGUGUCAUCCAGUCAAAAUAAAGUCAUCUCCUGAAUCCUCAUGUUCGUUGACGAUGUUAACAAUGCUCGGCGCCACGGCGAGCGCAACAACUCGAAGGACAACGGAGAGGGCCUCGCGGGCCCUACGGAUGGUCUGAUACAGCGCCCGCUACUCAUUCAGGAAGCCAGGAUCAUCGGACACCUAUGAGCACCUUCGAGAAACUGAGACGGCAUGAAACGGUAAGGCCGCGCUUGGGAGCUCUGGUUUAUUUCAAACCUGUAUUAACAUACAAGUGUAAUUUACUCAUCAUCGAAAACAACGCGUAAAAUAUAGGCGUAAUGAAACCGAGGGCCCGAGGUCCAUAAGUAAAACCGGCGGGUUACGCGUGUAAUUUGAGAGACCAGUGUAUUUUAUGAGCACUGCUAUAUGGACGACAUUACCAGACGAGUGUCACCUCCAGAAGGACCAACUCUACGACCUCGCCAACUCCAGCACGUACGCACCUAUCCCCUGCGGCUCCCCUGCCUGCACGGAGCUCGGUAGCAGCCACAGCAGUGGUUGCUCCGCCGGCUCCGACCAAUGCAAGUAUAUCCUCGACUACGGCGACGACAGGGUCACCGCCGGGACAUACAUCAGCGACACGCUGAACUUGUCGCCCACCAUCGCGGUCAAGGGCUUCCGGAUCGGGUGCAGCCACGCCGUGAGGGGCACCUUCAGUGACCAGACCGCCGGCGUCCUGGCCCUCGGCGGCGGCGCCGGGUCCCUCCUUGCACAGACCGCGGAGACCUUCGGCAACGCCUUCUCCUACUGUGUCCCGCACCCGAGCUCCGAUGGAUUCCUCUCGCUGGGCGGGCCGGUGGGGAAAUCGUCGCAGUUCGCGAGCACGCCUCUGAUCAAGAACCAACACGCUCCAACCUUCUACAUCGUCCGCCUAGAGGCAAUCACCGUGGCCGGGAGGCGGCUCGACAUGCCGCCGGCUACAUUCGCCGGUGGUGCGGUGAUGGACUCAGGGGCGGUCGUCACGCAGCUGCCACCGUCGGCAUACGCAGCGCUGCGGGCAGCGUUCAGGAGCGCCAUGACGGCGUAUGGCCCGCUUGCGGAUCCCGUACGCAACCUUGACAUGUGCUAUGACUUGACCCGCUUCCUCGAGGUCAAUGUCCCCAAGGUGUCCCUAGUGUUCGCAGGCUGUGCCACCUUGGAGCUCGAGCCGGCGUCCAUCAUGCUGGACGGUUGCCUGGCUUUCACGGCCUCCCCUGGCAGCCACGGCUCCAUCGGAUUCAUCGGCAACGUGCAGCAGCAGACCUACGAGGUUUUGUACGAUGUCGGCAGCGGGAGCGUGGGAUUCCGCAGUGGCGCGUGCUGAUGUGGCAAGCUGCAGGACAACCACGGCCAGUUGUACGUGUGAUGCAUGAUUGGCCCCCUAAUAUAUAUCUGGGGUCUACAAGCUAGCUUGCUCAUUGGGAUGGAGCUAGUUUGUGAGUAUAAAUAAAUGCAAGAAAGAAGAUUGAUGUAAUACUUAUAUAUGCAUGUAAUUUUAUAUAGUUCUAUAUAUGCAUGUAAUUUUGUUCAACGGUUGUAUGAUUGUAAACCUUAUAAUAUAACCUUAC
Molecule: long non-coding RNA, 60714 nt
Filed under: Triticum aestivum (bread wheat)
Lineage: Eukaryota; Viridiplantae; Streptophyta; Magnoliopsida; Poales; Poaceae
Description: long non-coding RNA (TAES_LNC014023)
Source: RNAcentral